UUACAGAAGAGGAUCAGAUUUCACAUAAAAUACCAAUACAAAUUUAUUACAGGAAAACCCAGAGGAAAUUACCCUAUAUCAGCGAUAUUUACAUAUCAUAAGACUAGAAAUCUCGAUGAUUAUGCUCCCAUUGAUCAUAAUAGCAAUUAGACGGUCUCGAUCUCCACUGGAUCCUCGAAAUUCGGAUCCUUAACAUCAACAGCUUCCUUCCCGACUCCGAUCUCGGCUUGGGAAUAACCAUCGCCGGCCCAAGUGAAUUUACCACCAUGACCUCCUUUCUUUGGCGAUCCGCUCAUACCCGUCGCCGACUUCCUGUCCUUCCUCCCAUCAGAUUUGGCAUUAUUGCAACCAGAUUUGGCAUUAUUGCAACUCUUGAAACUCUUUCCUCUGUCCUUCAUCUUCUCAGCACCACUCAGAUUCUCGACCGAUGAUUCCUCUAUUCGUCGUUGUUUGUGACUGGGGGUUUGUAUGUAGGCGCUUUGUUUGCAUUUUAUAGGUGGGGGUAGUACUACGGGCGUGGCGUUUUAUGAUUGGAAUGGAUAGAGAUCGGAUAAGACCGACUAUUAGUAAAUGCUAUUUUAAUUGAGAGUUAUUAUCGAGUGUCGAGCAUGCUAUGUUGCAUGAGUCGAAGGUAUUUUGAUUCUAUUGCAUGACACCGUACACGUGGCUCCCUGGCUCAGAUCUCGUUGUUUACUGCCCAUCAUUUGCGUCCAGCUUGUUCGGAUCAAAUCUUACAACCGGUAAACGCAGGCGCAGCUGUUUGUUUUGCAGAAAAUAUUUUGGCUUUUAGUUGAAUGGGCUUUAAUGGGCUUUUGGAUUUCACCGUGCCCUGCACCCCAAGCCCACUGAAACAGUAGCGACUAUCGAGCGAGUUUUUAGACCAUUGCCUAUGUGAUCAAACAGGUUCAAUGAAAUUUCGCCAUCCCCGUGCCGUGCACCCCAAGACCAAAAAGUCAGAAACUGUAGCUAGCGAGUUUUCCACUGUUGCAUGCUCGUGGUCAAACAGGUUCAGAGAAAUUUCGCCUUGCUUUCUUUUAUUUUUUUCCAUUUUUUAAGGCUUGCAUAUUAAAUUAGUCCUUAAAUUUUUCUAAUUGGUCCAACAAAUUUUCAAAUUAAUUUUAAAUUUUUCAUGGGCUAAUUUAGUUUAAAUUUAUACUAACACUAUAAUAAUAUGUAGAAUUAUAAAAAUUUAAUAUUUUAAAAUAUCAAAAGAAAUAAAAUAAUUAAAUUAAAAAUAAAAUUUUUUAAGAGAAUAUUAAAAAACACAUGUAUAAAUAUGGGCCUGGCAUAUUAUUUAUUAAAAUUAUGAUAAUUUUUUUAAAAAAAAGAAAGAAAAAAAAAGAAAGGAAAAUAAAUCAAAAUUUUUAUUUUCAAAUUAAAGGAAAAAUAGAAAAAAUUACUCCCUCCAUCCCUAAAUACUUGUUACAUUUAUAGUUCUAAAGAGUAAUAAAUUUCUUUUCCAUGUUUACUCUUUCAAUAUGAUAAGUAAUUAUUGCUUUAAUUUUUAAAAAUUUAUUGUUUGAAUAUAUUGAGAUAAGGAUAAUACAAUCAAAUAAAGGAUAAUUUAAUGAUUUUUUUAAAAAAAUCUGAAAUUUUAUAUGUGACGAGUAUUUAGAAUGAAAAUGGUAUAAUAAUGAACUAAAGGAGUAAAAGUAGUUUUAAUCUUCUCUUGUAUCCAAACACAGUGGAAAAAUAUAUAUUUUUAAAAUUUUUCCUUUUUUUCCUCUUUAUUUUAUUUUUGCCGAAUUUUCUCGCCGACCAAAAUAUAUCGUGACUGACAGUUGAAAAUUAAGCUGAUUUAUAUGGUAACAGAAAUGGACAGGGGAAAAAAUGCAGAUUUAUCUUCGAAAAUAAGACGUUUUCAGGCUCGCCAAGCUGUAAUAAGUGGAUGUGUCAACUUUGCAUUGGAUAACCAUAUAAAAAGAAAAAGAAAAACACAGAGAAAAACUCUUAACUUGCUAAAGCCCUAAAAAUUACGAAGCGGGACGGGAGCAUCCAAGAACUGAAACCGUGGCCAAGGCUGAGGCGAGUAAGGGUUUCUAAGGGGACAAUUAAAUAUAAAUCAAAUAGGCAUGAUAGGGUCCUCCUUAACACUUCUGCUCGCGCCGGUCUCUCCUCCCUUUCACUCCUUUAAUCGACUCUCUCAUUUCCAUUCCUCUUCUCUCUCUGCCUCUGGUAAGCUUACCUUCUACCACAUCAGUAUCUCUUUGAGUUUGCGUGCUCUGUUUUCGAUUUCUUUUGCUGGUUUAGCAUCAGAUUUUGUGUUAAACGGAGUUCAAUAUAGAAUGAGAUUUAUUUUAUUUUAUUUUUAUGCUGUGAUUUUGCUGUGAAACUAGACAGAAUUGUUAAGAGUCACAUCUAGAAGACUUGCUUUUGCUACAAAGACACAGGCAAUAUCGACCAUGACGAAUGUAAGUCUGUUUAACCAUUUUAUUUAGAAGCUUCUGGUAAGUAAAUGCUUGUGUAGAUUGAGUUUCCUUUUUAAGGGCUAAUUGUUGAAUAUUCUUGGUGAAGAAGACCGAGGAGAAUGUAGGCAAUUUGAAGAAACAACUAGCGAAACUGUUUGAAGUAUCUCUAAGAGAGACAGUGCCUACUGAGCCAGAUAUCGAGCCUUUAGUUGCGGCCUGCACUGCAAAAUUUGGCGACUACCAAUGGUAAUACUAAUGCGCUACCUGAAAUUACUUUACUGCAAAAUUUGGCGACUACCAAUGAUAAUACUAAUGCGCUACCUGAAAUUACUUUAAGCUACGUUAGUAUAUAAGCUACGUUUCAAGUGGUAAUAUUUCAAUUCUGGAUUCGUGUGUGCUUCUAAUUUGUGCUGAAUUUAUGCAUAUUUUAUCUGGUGCAGUAAUAAUGCCAUGAGUCUCUGGGCUAAAAUAAAAGGGAAGAAUACUGAAUUUAAGGGGCCCCCAGCUGUUGGACAGGUAUGAAUAAUUUUCAUGUUAGCAACUUAGAAUUCAAUUGUUCAUGCAUGAAUUAGCUUCCUACUCUUUUUCUAAGCUCCCGUUUUCCCACUCUUUUUUUAUUCUUCUUUCUAUCUCCUGCUGUUGGUAUUGGGUAAUUGGAUUGAAGCAUUUGUUUGAUCUUUAAUGUUUCUUAUGGCAGGCUAUAAUGAAAAAUCUUCCUUUGUCUGAAAUGAUAGAAAAUUGCUCUGUGGCAGGACCUGGUUUUGUGAAUGUUGUUUUGUCAAAGACUUGGUUGGCUGAGGUAUUUACCUAUUCACCGUUUCCAAUUAAUCUUAUGAAUUUGUUGUAUGAUUAUUAUAUGUGUCUUUAAAAUCUUUUUGCACGCACUUUUCUUUUGCCUUCUCAUGAUUCUAGUAUUUUUCUCAGUUGCUUUUUAUUUGAAGUGGGAAACUAGUCCAAUUUGACUUCCAGUGGUUAAUGUAAGGUUACUCAUGUUAGAUUGUUUUGGCUGCAGAAAAUCCAGAAGAUGCUUAUUGAUGGUAUUGACACUUGGGCACCUAAGCUUGCAGUUAAAAGGGCUGUGGUUGACUUUUCCUCCCCCAAUAUCGCAAAAGAAAUGCAUGUUGGCCAUUUAAGGUCUACUAUUAUUGGUGACACGCUAGCCCGCAUGCUUGAAUACUCUAAGGUUGAUGUUCUUCGGCGAAAUCAUGUUGGCGAUUGGGGAACUCAAGUGAGUGUGAUUUUUGAAAACUUCUAUAUAGUCUCUUGCUCUUUCAUAGACUUUUGAUAUGCUUGACAUAUUUCUUCCAUUAUGAAGUGUUGCAUCUCUUCAAAUAAUCUUUUAUAUAUCUUAUGACAUUUUCCCCUUUCUCAUUAGCAACCUGUUGCUUAAAGAUUUACAUUUGCUUGCAGUUUGGUAUGUUGAUUGAAUUCCUCUUUGAGAAGUUUCCAAACUUUGAAGAUGUUAAUGAAAGCGCUAUUGGGGAUCUACAGGUGACUGAAAAACAUUUAAUUAUUUAAAUUGUGAAAUAACCUUUAGAGUAAAUAAGCUAAAAUCAUGUAGUGCUAUGCAUUAAAAUUUGGACCAAGAACAUGAAGAUCUCGGAGAUCAAUUGCUGUUUGGGUUUUAUGUUUUUGAGCACUUACAUCAUGCCCAUGGACAGAAUCUGUUCUUUGCUUGUGUAUGGAACUGAUCAUAAUAAUUUGUAAUAGUAAGCAAAUUAUUCUUAUUAAGAAAUGCUCAAUACUGUUUCUUUUCUUCUCCCUUACCCAUUAUGCAUAGAGCGUACAGCCGUGGCAAUUCAUAUUGCAUGUUAUCUAAGCUAUAUGACAGUUUCUAUGAGAACUCAGAUAGUAUUAGGCUAUAUGUACGGCUAUACUGCUUUUUUUUUUUUUUUUUUUUUGGUUGGAAAUAAGGAUUAGAUGCUUCCUUGGGCAAUAGAUGAUGUGGCUUUUAGAAAGCGGGAAACAUGAUAUAUCUGAUUCUAACUUGAGUUAUGCAUUCUAUAGGCAUUCUACAAGGCAUCAAAACAGAGGUUUGAUGCUGAUUCCGAAUUUAAGGAAAGGGCACAAAGAGCAGUGGUCCGCCUCCAGGUAUAUCUUUUACUUUUUAACUUGAAGGACUCAUUGGGUUGAUAUAUAAUUUAUUGUUGGACCUAUAAACUGUUUAUAGAAGGGAAUUGAAUGUGAAUUUUUUUUUCUUUUUUUUUUUUUUUUUUUUUGGUAUGCAGGGUGGAGAUCCCAAGUACCGCCAAGCAUGGAUGCAAAUAUGUGACAUCAGUAGGAAGGAGUUUGAUAAGGUCUACCAACGCCUUGGAGUUCAGCUUGAAGAAAAGGUAGAUAUCUUAAUUUUCUAUAUGAUGAUUUUUUGAGUGCCAACAUUAAUGGUGUUUUAGGAAGCUGCUAGUGAAAUUCUGUAAACAAGAUAUUUACUUCUUGGGCUCAUUGGCGAAUUAGUAAUUUGCUGAUCCUCUUGCUAAAAAUCAAGGAAUUGGGAGAUUUCAUAUGAAGGUUUCAUGAAAAGGUUAAAUGGGGUGCUUUAUCUUAUGAAAUCCAUCUAAGCUACACCAAAUUCGUAAUGUGUUUUAAUGGUAAUUGCUUAUCAAAAGAUAAAAGAGCACAUUCACACGAAUGUCUAUUCCCAUGUCUUGUUCACAGGGAGAAAGCUUUUAUAAUCCACACAUUCCUGGGAUUAUAGAGGCAUUAAGCAAUCGAGGAUUAGUUGAAGAAAGUGAAGGUGCUCGUGUGAUCUUUAUUGAAGGAUUUAAUAUUCCUCUUAUUGUUGUGAAGAGUGAUGGUGGUUAUAACUAUGCUUCAACUGAUCUAACUGCCCUUUGGUGAGUUUAUAUUUCUUCUCAGAAUAAAAUCUGGAAUUCUCUUUAGAUGUCUUGAUCCUAUUAUUCUAUUUUUUUGUGCAUCUAUUUAGUCCCUGGUUUGGAUUCCUGUACCUUGCGAUUUGUGUAAUCGUUUGAAACGAUUUGGAAGUUUAUGUUAUCUAGAUGAUCACAUUAAUUAUUGGUUUUUCCCCUAAAUCAUAUAUAAGCUAGCUAAAAGGUAAAAUUAAUACGAGUGAACUUCAUUUUUUUUUUACCUUCCCUUGGUCAAUUUCUUAUGUUGAUGGGAACUGAGCAUUUUUUUUUUUACCUUAUUUGUAGCAUUGGUUGUACAUUGGAAAUGCAAAAAUAUCUUUUGAGACCGCUGAACAUGUUUCUUUUUUAUAAGGUUUUUAACAUCUGCAGAGUUCAUGUCAUGGUGGAUUGCUAAGGAUGAAAAGUGGUGGCAUUGGAAUUGAAAUUGUUGGAUGUUGAUUUCCAUGUGUAGGUAUCGCCUUAAUGAAGAAAAAGCUGAGUGGAUUAUAUAUGUUACGGAUGUUGGCCAGCAGCAACACUUUGAUAUGGUAUUCAAAGUAAGUCUCUGUUGCCAUAUCUUGUAUUCUCUUUUUUGGCUAUUAAAGUACGCUUUUGCACUUGAUAAUUCCUUGUAUUGCACUUUUACUGCCAUUUUGAUGUAAAAAUGACGAACUUGUUAUUUGUUUACAUGUAUUCCAUGGUUUAAAUUCAGAGUCAACUUAUAAUUAUGUGCCCUUCUUAUUCAGGCUGCCAAACGUGCGGGUUGGCUUCCAACUGAUGAUAGCACGUUUCCUAAAGCUAGCCAUGUCGGAUUUGGCCUUGUUCUUGGAGAUGAUGGCAAGCGAUUUAGAACUCGGGCCACUGAAGUGGUUAGGUUAGUUGAUUUACUAGAUGAAGCUAAGACUCGGAGCAAAGCAGCACUUGUUGAGCGCGGUAAAAAUAGCUGGACUGAUCUUUGAUUUUUGUUAAUUGUUAGUUAUGUGCCUUGAAUUUCUGUAUCGUCCUUAUCUUUGUGUUAGAUUUUCACCACAAAGACUUUGCAUUUCUAAGGUAAAUAAUACCCUACUUCUUUGACAGGUAAGGCUGAUGAGUGGACUGAAGAGGAGCUUGAGCGGACUGCUGAGGCCAUUGGUUAUGGUGCUGUUAAGUAAGCUAUCUAUACUAAUUUGAACUUUUCCUUUUGGCUCUAUAAGUUGCUGUAUUCUCAAUUUUAAUCCAUUGAUUUGUAGUAUCUUUUGUUCUGGGCUUGGGUUGGUGCUAAACAUUAGCUUGAGGUGGCCAAGGGAGUUGAGAAAUUACUGAUUCUAGGAUUGGAGUUACAGAAAGGGUUCAUAUUUGUGGGUUGAAGUUUGUUGAGAAAUAAUGAAGUUUUCUGGAAAAACGGUGUAGUUUGAAUUAAGUUGUAGGAACUUUUUGGUGGGGAAAAUUUUCGUUUUAAUGGUUUUUUUUUGGCAUGACGUGCAUCAUUUGGUGCAAUGUAGAAGCUUUGGGUUGCAGCAACAAAGUUGCAGGUUUGAGAUGUUGAAGCUACCAUCUCAUGCAAAAAAUUGUCAAGAGUAAGACUUUCAAGUUCUUCCCAGAUCUGAUCUCCCUAGUGAGAGUUGCAAGACCAUAACUUGGCAAUAACCUCUUCUAAGUGGUGGUUUCAAUGGCUAAAGGUGUUGACAUAUUACUGGCUGGAUGCUGAGGGAUAUGCUGAGACUCGAAGUCUCUUCCUUGCCAUAUGUAGAUAUAGAAAUUCAUAACUUGAAUUAUUUAAAAAAAAAAAAAAAACUUUAAACUCUCAACCAAAAUACCCUUAAAUUGCUGUAAGAACUGACAGGUUUUCCAUAAUCCAUAAAGGUGCUUAAAUUAUUUCUGACAUGACUUUAAAGUUUGCUUCCUUUGUGUAUGCCUACUUAUCAAAUCAUUCACGAGUUAUGCAAGAAAACCUAAAUUUGGUAAAUAUUAGAAUAAGGUGAUGGAGGGAUAUGCUUCCUCAUGUCUGCAUUAUCUGUUCCCAACAUUGUUUAUAGAUAUAAACAUGUUCAUUCGUUUAACUAUGAAUUCUACUUUUGAUAUACAUACAUUGUUAAUCUUUUUUUGGUCAGGUAUGCUGACUUAAAGAAUAACAGAUUGACCAAUUAUACAUUCAACUACGAUCAGAUGCUCAGUGAUAAGGUAAAUAUCUGAUUUGUUGCUUGGUGGAGCACAGAUUUCAGAAAGCCAAACUUGUUCAUGAACAAUUUUUAGAUACUGGGGUUAUGUGAUGUUUUUACUUGGCUAACUAUCGACUACUUGUAUUAUGGUUCUCUUAUCUGUAGUUUUCUCUCUUUUAUUGCUGUUGCUGAUGAAUACUGCUGUUCUGCCCCAGUACUACUAUGGUUUUUUAACCUUCUAGAACUUCUGAACAGGGAAAUACUGCUGUUUACUUGUUAUAUGCUCAUGCUCGGAUCUGUUCAAUCAUUAGGAAAUCUGGUAAAGACAUAGAGGAGUUGAAGAAGGUAAGUUCUCUUCCUUCCUGGUUCAUUGAAAACUUUUACAGUUUACAAUGGCCAUGCUGCUUGCUAGUUUUUGUUUAUGCUUGUAAUGUGCUCUCAAUCAUAUGUUUUAUCUUUUAAUCUAAUUUUAACCAAAAUUUCAUUUAAAACAUCUAACACUUUACUACAAGUUUCGAAUGCAUUUUCAGUGGACAUUUGUUUUAAUAUGAAUGUUGUAGUACUCAAAUCAUCUUGCCCCAGCUUUUUAUUGCUUGUGGAUUUGGAGAACAAGAAUUUGCCCCAAGUAACUUCUCAAGUAGAGAAGGUUGAUGUUGUUUUUUAUUUUGCUUGUGUCUAUUUUUUUGUGAUGCAGACAGGGAAAUUGAUCCUGAGUCAUCCUGAUGAGCGUGCUCUGGGGCUUCAUUUAUUACAAUUUGCUGAAGUAAGACGUGUUUUAAAUAAUCACUCUUUUUUUUGUCUCUUGCUUCUUGUCCUUAGCUUGCUUUCAUUCUAAAAUUUUAUCUUGUAAGUUGAAAUGGAUGUUUUUGUCUGCACAUUUCAGACUGUAGAGGAGGCCUGCACCAAUCUCCUGCCAAACGUGUUGUGUGAAUAUCUCUACAAUUUAUCUGAAUAUUUCACCAAAUUUUAUUCCAAUUGCCAGGUAUAUUCCAACUAUGCUAAAAUAUCACACUAAUAAUUGAACAUUGACCGGCUUAGGCUUGCUGACUAGGUGCCAAAACAGCUGGGGAGCUAUUGGUUACCUUCCAUUACUUCUCUCUGAGUUGUAAUUUUAUAAAGGAUUUAAUUGAAGUCAUGUUCAAAGUUCAAACUUGAGAUGUAACUAAAUGAUAUUUGGAAAAUUGGGCAGGUCGUUGGGUCAGCCGAGGAAACAAGUCGACUCUUGCUAUGCGAAGCAACGGCUGUGGUCAUGAGGAAAUGCUUUUUCCUUCUUGGAAUUGUACCUGUUUACAAGAUAUGAUACCACAAAUUCAAGAUGUAGAAUUUUGUACCUAUAUUUUCUCAGGCGGUAUAAAAAUUUUGUAUACGGAUCAUAUUGUAUGGUGAUUUUGUUGGAUUUCUCGUGCAACUGAAAAAUAGUUAGGCUUCAAUUGUAUGAUUUCCUGAUUGUAUUUCGCUGUGCAUGCAUCCCAUUUUGAACAUUUAAGGCUUCAAUCAUUGUUGUAUCCAGCCACGUGUGUGUGGUUUGUUGAAGUAAAUAUUUUUGUAAUUUUUUUUAAAAGGAAAAUCCUUUUUUUAAAACAAGGAAAACCUUCUCCAGGCAACGUUUCUGUUCUUUCUUUAUUGUUUUUCUUAACAAAACAUUACUAUUUGUUAAUUUUUAUGUCUUUUUUUUAAAGAUUUUUUAUACGCUUAAUAAUUUAUUUUCGUAUUUGAAUCCGCCUUUGAUAUUUGUUCAUUCACUUUUUUUUUUUUUUUUUUUUGUUAUUUUAUGUAUAAUUUUUAUAACGGAAAGUAGUGUUGUUACACUACUUAACGUUUUCCUGUUUUGAAAGAAAAAAAAAAACAAAAAAGUUGCGGAUUAGUGGCGGAGCUCUUAAGGGACCAAACGUGUGAACAUGGCCCCAUGUCUAAUGAGCUUCGUUAUAAUCUAAAAAUGGUUCCUUAAAAUUGAUUUUAUCCAUGAUUUUUCUUUCCAAAAUUGUCAUAUAUAAUUGCAUUCGUUAGACAUUUGCUGCCAUUACUUCAUCAAGACCAUGAAUACGAAAUGAUUUUUCAAUUUUUUUUUAUAUAUACAUGAAAUAUUAAAUAAAUAAUUUACUUAAAAAUUAGUAGAAAUUUAUCACCAUUUAAUUUUAAAGUAUAUAUGAUUUUUUGUUAAUUAAAUUCAUUGUUUUCUUUGUCAAUUUAAAAUUUAAUUAACAGAAUAAUAUUCUCAGAUGUUUAUUAUUUUUCUUGGAUGAUAUAUUUCUUACAUAUAUAUAUGUAUAUGUAAUAUUUUGAGCAUUGGAAAGGGAAUUAAGUAUAUAUGCACUUAUCUUAGGUUAUACUUAGAUUUACAUAUUUAAUAUAACCACAUAUUCUAACGUGAAAAUUUAAAAAAAAAAAAAAAAAAAGAUGAAAAAAAGAAAGUUAACUCCUUUUCAUUUCCGGUUUGUGGUUAUUCUCCAUUGGUGCUUAUUCAGGAAUCAGAACUUAUAUAUGACCUUGCAGACUAAUGUCUGUACUCUUUGAUAUCUUAGUCGAAUCCUAUUUAAAAGUGCAAGAAACGAGAAUAAGUUUCUUCUAUUGGUAAUUAAUCUUCUCUUAGGAUUAGAAUAUUAUGGAUGGAUAAUAAAGGUUCAUACGAAAAAUUACCUUCGUGCUUUAUACAAUAUUAAUUAUAUGCAUUAUAUUUGUGCUAUCAGCAUAAUUUUGAUCAACUGAAACAAUUUAAUUUUGAUAAAAAUGACGGGAUGAGCAAAAAGGAAGUCUCAAACUAAGGUUGAGAUAUGGUAUAUAGAUCUUUUUCUCCAUUUCAUCAAAUCUUCAAACUACAAAAAAAUUUAAAAAAAAAAUGCUAAUUAAAGAUUGUGCAUUUUGCAUAAUAAUAGAUGUUCUUGAUUUCACUACCUUCUUAAACCCAACCCCCUUGCAAAAAUAUGCAAUGCAAGUUCUGCAUCAUAAAAAGAUGCAUCAAAUUGCACAUGAACAUGGAUUUAAAAUCCCUAAUUAACAAUUACCCACUAAAGAAUUAGCUCUCUUGCUUAAAAAGGAUAAAAAAGAUCCUCUUGAACCUGAAAUCUUUUUUGAUAUGGUAGCUUUAGGACUAUAAGACUUGUGUCCAUCCAAAACCGCAGCAUAGCUUUUGCUCGACUUCAUUCUUGAUCUAGAUGGAGUGCUUUUCACUUUCUUUGCCAGAUCUUCCAAGUCCUUUACACUUGCUAAAGAUGUGUAAGAUUGAGACUUCCCUUGAUAAAACUUUGAAAGACCUCUCCUGCAAUUGCGCAUAUAUAUGUAUAUAUGAUUAUCUUAGAGGCUUUUCAAUAAAAUUAUUUUCAAUAAAAUCUUUUUAAUAAAAUUAUUUUUUUAUAUUUAAAUCCCUUGCUUUUUAUGCUAUAAGAAAGAUAUAGUAUUAAUCAUUGAGUUUUAUAACAAAAUUUCAUGAGGAAGAAAUUUAUUUUCAUUAACUAUAUGUAUAUAUGUACUUACUUGAUAGGAAGUUGGGUCAUGAGCUCUGAUAAGUCAUAUAGAGGCCUAUUUGUAUAUGUUGAUGAAGUUGAUGAUGAUGAUGAUAACGGUGAUUGUGAAGAAGAUGCAUCUUCGAAUAAAUCUGUUGAAGAGGAAGAUAUAACUGAGUUCGAUGAAGCUUCCAUGGAGGAUUCAGCUGAUGUUGAGUCAUAAGCAUUAUCAUCACCAUGACAAUCCAUGGCCAUCACGCAGCUUUGAUCUUGCUCUUCUAAUUGACUAGGGUUUACUUUUUCAAAAUUAAGAUCCCAAAAUUUUCUUUCUUCAGCCAUUAGUUUCUAUAUAAUAUAGUCUCCAACGAAAGGCAAGAGAAGGAAGAAAGUAAAGAAGAGAGAUCUUGCAGCAGAAAGGGUUUAUAUUAUACAAAAAGAAAAGGGUAGUAUUGGAGGGUUCUGAGCACCUUUCUUGAAUUCAUGCAGAUUGCUGUGUUUUAUUUUUCAUUAUAUAAUAAGAUUUGUUUGUCUUGUGAUGUUUUUUUUUUUUCUCUUUUUUUAUGAUUAUCGUCAAAUCUAUUAAUGGUGUAAAUUUAUUAGCUUUCCCAUGGUACAAGGAAGUGGAUAAGGUCUAAAUUUGAACACAUCCAAAGAUGACUCACCACCCCUUUUUCGUAAAGGGAGAAUAUAAAACUUAGGCCAUCGUCUGUGGCUACUUUGCCUCUUAAAGCAGUGACAGAUUAAGGUUUCUAGGCAUUCAAAUAGUAAAAGUUGCCAAUAAAGAAAUUCUACAUUUCACUAUAAGUUUGGAGAACAACCUUUGGUGGGUGGAUAUAUGGCUAAUCUUCCACUAAUCCUUGUUUGCCAAAACUUACUUAUCUCUAAGAAAAUGCUUGUUUGUCUCUGAAUUAUUAGAGAUAAGCUAAACAAAACAUACGGAUAACGUAACUUUAUUUCAUUAAAUGAGUAUACGGUUAAUAUAAUAAACUGAAUUUACCAAAAAAUUUAUCGCAAGCCAGGCAUGAGCUGGACGAAGAGGUCGACUGGGAAACCUGUCAUCAUAGUUUAACACUUUUUUAUUGCCACCACAUGUUACUCCUUGUAGGCCCCAACCUUCCGUUUCAUUCACUUUUAUAUAUGGAUAAGAUUUGCCACUACCUAAUGCACCACUCAUUUCAAUUCAUUAGGAGGUCUAUUGGCUACGGUGGAUGUGCCUACCAUAUAGCAGCUAGGUGUUUCUGUAGAUAAUUAUUUCUUUCAGUUAUAUUUGAAUUAUUUAAUUCUUAUCUGGUGGCCAGUGUUAGAACUGUGGCACCACAUGAUAAUUUGAGCUAACAUGUCAUGGGUUUGUCUUCCCACAAGCAAUGUAGUAAUCCAGUGCAGUGAUGUUCAGAAUUGAUUGCAUUAGUUUAAAUAUCUAAUAUACAUGCAAAUUUAGCUUAACCUUAGGAGACAGGAAUAUUGCGUGACAGCACCAUGUAAUAUUCAAAACGAUCAGAACUUGUUACCAAAAUGAUCUAAUGACCGGUGAAAAUUUUGGGAUGCAUGAAAUCACUACUCUAAUUAAAUUAAUGGCGGUAUUAGAAGUAAAAUUUAAAAAAAAAAAUCAAAAUUACACUUAAUUGUAUAAUAAAUUAUAAAUGAUGUAAUUAUUUAUAAAAUUAUAGAAUUUAUAGGUACAAACUCCUUCAUUAAAAUAGCUUGAUAAAAAUAAUUCAACUUAAUUGGUUAAGCUUACCAAAUGAACCUAACUUUUCUCAAGCACAAACUUGAACAAAUCACAAGUGACUUGACUCGUAUUUUCAGUCCAAGUCUUUUUUUUUAAUUAGAUCGAUAAUUUUUUUCUCAAGUGAGAAAAAUAAAUUAAUAAAUUUAUCUUAAUAUGUUUUAUUUGAUAUUUAACUAUACAUAGUAGUUAAUUUUAUAAAUUUUACAAAUAGCACAAUAUUUAUAAAUUCCUUAAAUAUUUGUAAAUUAUAUUUUUUAUUUAUAUAAAAUAGUUUUAAAUAUUUGUAUGUGCAAUUUCUUGGAAAUAGUGUUGCACGUUGAACCCAAAAUUAAUAGUGACUAAAUAUUUUGUUUGAAAUAAAAUUGUGGAUCUUGUUAACUGAUGCAACGUACAAAUAAACCCUUUUAUCAUAAUUUAAGUGUCUAAAAGCUUUUUAGUGAUUUAUUUUUAAAUUAGGAGUGGGAUUAAUUUGUUCAAUCUAGCGACCAAAUCGAUGAAAAUGGUUUUUCUAUUGAAAUAAUGGUAUGUUUAAACAUGUAUGGAGAAGAAAAAAAAAGAAUAAUUUUAAAAUUUUCUAUUUUAAUUGAUUUGAUCCGUAAAUAACUCUAUGAACCCGAUAAGUCUCGUACAUAAGAUAGAAAUUUGAUUAUGAGAUAGUGGAAAUUAGACUUUCAUCAGUCAAAGUCUUAGCAAGGUAGAGCAUUUAUUUAUUGCCAUUUUGACCAACUUGCUAUUUAUAAUCUACCUGGAAAUGGGAAAAUAAUUAAAUGAAGAAAAUAUCUUUAAAAGUUUAAUGUCAAGAGAAUAAAAGAUAAAUAUUAAAUAAAAAAAUAAGCAUAUCCUAAUUUUAAAUAAUUAGAAAUAUUUGAACUCAUUUGGAAAUUCAAAUAUUAAAAACAGUUCAAUUAGGAAUCUUAAUAUUAAAAAAGACAAAUAUUUUUGAAAAAACGAAAAGAAAUAUAUAAUGUGCAUGGGCCUUGUUUUUGUGGAGCUGUUGGGUCCAAAGCCCAAAUCUUUGUCCAUCCAUCAUCACACAGAAUGUGUUCACCCAUCAGAAUGUUGGGCAUUGGAAACUAUAUUAGUAGGCCCCGAUUGUAAAUGGCAGUAGGAGAAAAAUGUCUUCUAUUGAUUUUUUUGUGUAACUUGCAACAUACGAAUGUCAGCUGCAUCACGUGAAUCUCGAGUUUGUCUCCCUCCUAUCCCGAGUAUAACUCCAUUUAUAAGCCUUAAAAAACAAGAUGCAAUAACAAUAUAUAUAUAUAUAUAUAUAUAUAUUAAUCUAUCCGUGUGCGGAUUCUAUUAUUAGAAUUAACUAAUGUGGCUUGAGAUUUAAUCACAGUUAAAAUUCUUUGUUCCUUUCUACAUAUAUGUUUAGUUAAGACUGAACCUAAAAAUUCUUUUAACAUACCCUGCAUAAAUUGCCAACUGAGUCAUAACCGGUAGAUAACAAUAUCUAUAUUUUAUUUAACAAAAAUAAAAAUAUUAUAUCUUAAUGUUAGGAUUUAAAUUUUAAGGUACACAUAUACUAUUUUUAUUCUAUGCUGCAUAAUGCUAAACACAAAAAUUAAAUUUUAUAUAUAUAUAUAUAUAUAUAUAUAUAUAUAGCCGCCUAAAUUCUUUGUACACAUAUUUUUGACCUUUCUUAAACAAUGAAUCCAAUUCACUGAGAUUCAGAUCCUCCAUUAAAGUCAAAGAAUCUCUCUCUUUUUUUAAUUCUUGGUAUUUAUUUUAAGAGCGUGGAUAUAGGCUUGAAUCGAGCCACGUUUCAUUAAUUUUUAUAUUAAAUUGGCAGGCCAAGCAUGAAAGCACAUGAUUCAUGAGGAACGGUACAUGGAGGUGGCAAUAGUUGCAAAUAGAGAUCAACAUAGAUCGGAGUUCAAGUUGGGACUUGAAUAUUCGAUUUUUUUUUUAUAUAGGAAGAAAAAACUACUAGGUGUGUUAGUUACUGCCUGGUCGGCUCAAAUCACCAGUCAGGUAUUGACGUCCUGAUUUUAAACACUCUAUAAGGCGCGCCAACUCUUGAGCAGUGGUGGGAAACUCUGCCCCCUUCUGUAAGAUCAUGGUGUUGCGGUCCUCAAUCCAUGAUAGCAAGAACUCGAGCAAGUGGCAAAAUGCCAUAUCAAGCGCUAUGAUGCUAUUGAAACCUUUGCCUUCCUUCAUUGGUUUACGCACGGGAUACUGACACUGAGAGACGAAAGCUAGGGGAGUGAAUAAGAUUAGAUACCCUAAUAGUCCUAGCCGUAAACAAUGAAUACCGGCGCUGUGCACAUCGAACCAUGCAAUGUUGUAGCUAACGCGUUAAAUAUUCCACCUGGGGUAGUCUAAAAAAGCAAAGUAAAUAUUUAAAUAUUAUACAUAACGGAAUAUGCUCAUGAAGGAUCAAAUCUAAUCAAGCAUGCGGAUGAAGGCUUUUACCACUAGGUCACCACCUCUGAGUGAUUGGAAUUUGAUUCAUGAAGAAAAGUUAAUACCCAUUGGAUAUCCACCUUGUAAUUAAUCAAAUCUUGUACUCUCUCAGUCACAUUUGUUUGCAUGAUUUGACAAAAUACGCAUAUUAAAAUUUUAGUCAACAAAAAUUAUUUUACCUUUUCUAUCCUUAACUCAUUAAGAUAUUAAUAAAAUUUUUUCAUUUAACGAAGGAUCAUAAAGAUUAUUAUGAGAAAAAUAAUUAAUUACAUGUACAAAUUUACAUACUUUGCAAAUAUUUUGGAACAUUUAAAAAAGGAAUAAGAAGCAAAUAAAAUGGUCGGAGUCAAUGUAUAUUUUUAAUGGAUUUUUCUUUUAAAAUAAUCUGGUCAGAUUCAAAUAGCAUAGUUAUCCAUAUUCAACCCAUCAAACCACGUAUAUCCGACAGAUUAGAUAAAUAGAUUUGUUGGAGUUUAUUAUAGAUACUGGCCUCCAGAAAAGCUUUCUUUUGUUCACUUGUUAUUUAUAAUCAAAGACACAAACUUCGACCUUUACAUGAAACUUGAUAUCUUAUUUUCUGUGAUUGCAUGAGUGCAUGUGUGCUUGUCGACUAAAAGGUGAUUGCAUUUUCAGUUAUAGUGUAUUGGAUAUUGCUAUGAAAUUUAAACUCUAGGUGCAUGUUUGAAAGGGUUGAUCUAUAUAUUUAAAUCCCCCUCUGGGUCAUCGUGAGCUUAUCUGUUUAAUUGGGUUGUUUUCUAUAUAUUUGAUGAUGCAAGUUUGUGUCGGGUGGGUUGCUGCUAUGUCGUAAACUUAAUAGCUAUAUCAAGUAGCUCGCUUUUAGACUCUAUAGAUGAGAUUGUCCCAUAUAAUGCUUUUCACAUCUUUUUCAUUUGAGCCAAACUUUUUUUUUUUUUUCUCUACAGAAGGGACACAAAGCUCAAAACAGAUUACACACAGAGGCUAGGAUAUAUAAAUAAAUAAUGACAAACUUUGAUGCCAGCGUAGAUCCCAACAAUCUUAAGGUUUGUAAUUAAUCCUUUAAUCACUUAACGCCGGAAAAUAGACUUCUAACUUUUUGUAAGCUAUCAUUAAGACAGGGAAAGUCCAGUGCAAUGGUAGCGCGUUGGCUACUUGGAAAUGGAAACCUCUUUUGCUGGAGUAGUAUGCUUACAAUAGAAGAUUACUAUUCUCAUAUUUUUUCCGGUAUUUCCCAAUUCCAUUUUCGUUAAAACAAUGAUUUUCAUAUGCUAUAAUUGCUUUAAUUCUGCUCAAUCAUUUUUCUUAUUUGACAAUUGUUUUUCCUUGAACUUAUGUAGCGAUACCACUCGUCAAGGAUUCUUACUCUUGUGUAUCAACUAUGUGCAUUUGUUACACUUGCAAUACUUGCAAAUCACGAGGCAAAACUCAAUACAAGAAAAAGGAACCUACUUGGAUAUAGUUUACUUUUCAUAGGCUCUCUUCUUAUUUUAGUUGUGAGUAUCAUAUUUUUAUUUUCUAUGUUCCAAACAACUCGUUGACAGAUUUUGGUUAAUUCAUAUGCAUACUAGCUACUAAUUCAUUUAUUAUGAUUCUAUAGGUGGAUUUAGCUACAUCAGGAAGAGGGGGACUUGAAACUUUCAUUGGGAUUUGUGUCGUUAAUGCUGCAUUUGGAGUUGCAGAUGCUCAUGUGCAGGGUGGAAUGGUUGGAGACCUAUCCUUCAUGAAACCUGAAUUUCUACAGGUUAUAUAUUUCUCUUUCCAUGGUAACAUUUUCCAUGGUUUUCUAUUUCCUACGAGUAUUUUGAUGAGUCUUAAUUUUACUUCUUUUUUAGUCUUACCUUGCUGGUAUGGCAGCAUCAGGGAUCAUAACUUCUGGUUUGAGGUUAAUUAUAAAAGCAGCAUUUCAGGAUUCCAAGAAUGGUCUUCGCAAAGGAGCUAGUAUGUUCACCACCUUUUAUCUUGCUUCCUACAAACAAGGAAUUCUCCAUUUCUUAUGCUCAACUUUUUCCUUUUGGCUAAUCCAUCCGCCUUCAGCAACAAACUUAUCUCUAUCAUAUAAUAUUUAACAAAGAAGUUCACACUUGGUCUUUCUGCAAUUUGGUUAUCAAGACUAAACGUCCCAAUUUGUCUAUCGCAGUUCUAUUUUUUGCUCUCUCUGCAUUUUUCGAACUUCUCUGUGUUUUCCUCUAUGCCUAUGCCUUUCCAAGAUUACCCACUGUGAAACACUACCGCUCGAAGGCAGCCUCAGAAGGUUCAAAAACUGUUACAGCUGAUCUUGCGGCUGCUGGCAACAGAACAUUCCAACAAGAAGAAGUAUGUCUAUUUUCCCUAGAGAUAUUUAGUUAACAUAGUAUUUAUGCUAAUUCAUUACGCAAUUUAACAAUGAAAUUUUCGACAGGCUGAGGAAAAGCCAGAAAGAUUUGAGAGGCGAAGCAACAAAGAGUUAUUAUCACAGAACAUUGAUUACGCAAUUGAUCUGUUUCUGACAUAUGUAAUCACAAUGUCUAUUAUGCCUGGAUUUUUAUCUGAAAAUACCGGAUCACAUAAUUUGGGCGAUUGGUGAGCCUUGGUUUAGAAUAUCCAUGUGAUUAAUUUACUCUUUUAAAGGCUUUGUAAAUUCUGAAAUUGUUGAUAUUUCAGGUAUGCCCUGGUUCUGAUAGCAAUGUACAAUUUGUGGAAUCUUAUUGGUCGAAACAUUAUACUCGUGAAAUCGUUGAAGCUGGAAUCACGAAAAGGUCUCAUGAUAAUCAUUAUCUCUCGUUUCUUACUCGUUCCAGCAUUCUAUUUCACUGCCAAGUAUGCAGACGAAGGCUUGAUGAUAAUGCUGACAAGCGUCUUAGGAUUAACAACCGGUUAUUUCACUGUCUGUGUCCUUACUUCUGCACCAAAAGGUUACAAGGUUUGUAGGUUUCUAGCAAGUUUUAUUUUAGUUUUUAUUUAUUGUAUUGUAUUGAGUAGCAUUUGUGUUGCCACAGGGACCGGAGCAAAACGCCUUGGGGAAUUUGCUUACUUUGUUCCUUCUGUGUGGUAUAUCUGUAGGAUCUGCACUUGACUUAUUGUGGCUGAUAGGCAAAGGAUGGUGAGCUCAUACUUUUGCUGAAUUUAAGUGGAGACCUUUAAGAAAUUCAAAAGAUUUCAGUUUAUAUUUUUCCAAUGGCAAUUAUAAAGAAUAACUCGACCUUUUUCAUCUUCUAUUUGUAAAGUUCAGAAAUGUUACCUCCAAUUUCUGAGAGUAAUCUGACGCUGAGCUGAUUAAUUACUUAUCUUUGUUAUGUCAUGCACGUCAAAUCUCUUAAUUACUUGAUUUAAAUAAGUACUUUUCAGAAUAUCUACAAAGAGACAAUGUCCCUAUUGAAUUAAUGGUCUAUAAAAUAACUGAAGUAUCCAACUGCCUGUUGGUAUAUAAUAAGUAAAUCUGCAAUACAUACAAAUUUGAUGUUUGCAACUAAUUUUAGAUCGAGGCCAACAAAAUAUUCAUGAGGACUUAGGUAGUUGACGUAAACGUCGUAAAGACUCAACUUCAUCUAAAUUUAAAGCUAUAAAUUGAAGCAAGAAGCGUAGAACUUACACAAGAACCAAAGCCAAAUAAGUGGUUAUGGCAGCUCUAAACAAGUCCCUGAUUUCUCCUUCUCCUGUUGAUUGCAGUUUCAAUGCAGGGCCAGCAGGUUUAUUUCCAUUUAAAUUAAUUCAGCAAAAGUAUGAGCUCACCUUCCUUUGCCUAUUAGCCACAACCAGUCAAACACAGCUCUAUAAAUAUACUGCGAAACAAAGCAAGCGAAAAAUGGAAUUGUGUUCUUUGUAGAGGACUCCUCGUUUGAUUUUAUGCUGUUUGUUAUGAAACUUAUCAGUUCGUUCUAACUUCCUUUCUCUAUCUUUUAACACAGUCCAGUCAAUGCAUUGUAUUGGUUUCUUGGAAACGGAACCCUCUUUUCAUGUAGUAAUAUGCUCACAAAGUAGAUUAUUAUUGCCAUCUUUUGCCGGUGCUUCCCAUAUCCAUUUAUGAGAAAUACCGGGAAAAGAUGACAAUAGUAAUCUACCAUUGUCAACAUGAUGCAUUAAGAGGAGAGAGUUCCAUUUCCUAGGAGCCAACAUACUGCAGUGUCAGGAAAUAUUCACUGUUUUAAAGGUAGAAAAAGAAGUUAGAACUUGUAAGUUUCUUAACAAACAGCAUGUCUGAAAUCAAAGAAAACAGUUUCAUUUUUUUUGCUUGCUUUGUUUAUUUUGGGCGGUAUAUUUACUGGAGCUAGUUUGGUUGAAGCAAAGGAAGGUGAGCUCAUGCUUUUUUACUCACAAGUGAUGACAGAUUUCUUUGAAGGAAAUUUGUUUAUUCUGAUUUGCAUAAUGGUAAUAGUUUCCAUUAUGGUUUUGUCAGAAAAUAUAUAUAAGAGAAGGCAGCCGGUGCACGAAACUCCGGUGUGAAGAAGAGUAAUAGUUUGUCUGAAAAUAGUUGGGCUAUAAUUUCCACGUCCGUGACUAGUUGCAUAUUUUGCUGAGUUCCAUAUUUACUUCUAUUAAUAAAUUGGGUGGAAAUUAAUGCAUUAGACAAACAUGUUGUUCUCAACUUACAAGGAAGAAUAGAAAUCUUUCAUAAACCAAAAGAAAAUGAAAUACCAUUCAAAAAACAAAAGAAAAAGAAAUAUAACUUUUCAUCAAGAUUGUGCCCAAAUGAUCAGGGAGGUGAAACUGGAAAACUGCCAAAGACUUUUUGAUUGGGCCCAAAUGAUGGGGCUCAUCCGUUGGGCUUGGGCAUAGCCGUGUGUGCAGUAUUUAUCACUCUGUCGUUCUAAUAAACGACUAUUCCGAGAAAAUUUUAAGCUCAGCUUAAAAAAAAAGGCUUAUCAUUUAUGAAACGGACCGGUCGUUUUCCAGCCAUUCGUCGUGUGGCUAUACCACGGCAGGUCAGCCAAAAUACGAGCGUUUAACUUUGGUUAAUAAUGCACAUGUAAUUUCGUGUAAAUCCAAAAUUUGCCCAAUCGCCAGAGCCCGUGGGCCCAACAAUGAAUGAAAUGCCUAUUUUUUCUCGCAUUUUAAUCCUUAAUUAACAUUCUGUAUUUCAACCACUAAUUCUUAAAAUUUUACAAUUUGAUUUCAAAAACAGAAUUAAAUUAUUAUUCCUCCUAAAUAUGUUCAUUGAACUUGAAUGAAUCAACAAGCAUGGAACAAUAUACAAUAGCAAAGCUCAUGUAAGCUGUCUCAAAAUUAUAUAUUAUCUUUGGAUAUGGUAAACUAUUUGUUUGAAUAGUACAAAGCAAUUUCUGCACUGAUCGAUCAUGAUUAAUAGCCGAGACCUGAUGUGAAACAUAUUUAUAUUCUCAAUAUAGCAUUAGAAGACAAGCUAACUUGGCUUAACAUGACGAUUACAGGAUAUCUUGGCCAAACAUAUUGCAAGAAGACGGAACUAUCUAGGGUAGUUCACAGGAGGUUCCAAGCUGCCUACCAGAAUUGCAAGAUCAAUGUCUUUGUCUUCAAACUUUUUGAUGAAAGGAUGACUCUGAAAACAUUAAAAAAAAAAAAAGAGUUAAAAAUCAUUAUCUAGCUUUUCCCUUGGGUGAAAAACCAGGAAAAAAAAAUCCAAAAUAGACAAAUCGGACACUAGGUCACUAACCAAGAGAUCCAAAGAUGAUGCCCUGUCUCGAGGAUUCUUCUGUAUGCUGCAGUUACCAUAGAAAACAUAAUCAUGCACGUUACUAGUUAAAGCACUAAGAAAUUUGAAAAAUAGAGAACAUGAUAAAUGGGAAAAUUAUUCUAAGACGUUUGAACCAGGAAACUUAUUCGACCACUUAAUAUCCCCUGGUAAGUCCUAAGCUGGCUAGCAGUUGUGUGGAAAGAUGAAAAAGGUAUGCUUGUUUCAGUCAGUUUCUUGCUCAUCUGCUCUUUUGGCUGAGGCAUCGGUACUGAGGAGGUAGCAUGUUUGGUGUCACGUUGAGGUUUUAAAAUGUCAGAAUUUAAUCAGACUCUCUUAUGCUGGUUCAAACCUUCAUGAAAAGUCUGUUCCCUAGGGACAUUGCUGCUAUCAAGUGAAGCAAUUAUCUCAAAUUCCAGGGAAAUUCAAGUUGUUGCAGUUAGAAAGGACACAGAAGGAUGGCAGAGAGAGUAGCAAAAAAAUGCAAGAACAGGUUUAUGCACCCCCUCCCUCCCCUCUGUUAAUGGAAAAAACUAGUGCCUAAGAACUUCAUAAAUGACAAAUGGAAACAGGAUUAGAAAGCUACAUAUGUGCUGAAGCAACAUAACAAAAUUUGAAAUAAAUUUGUGCAAGUUAUUACCAGGAUGAUACAAAUGAACAGAACUCAGGGGAGAACUGAUCUGGAGGAGCAGAUGGUGGGGGGCUCUCCACAAUGGCUUCUAAAAGCUCAUAAAAACUUGGCCAGCUUUGCUGAUCUUCAGAUUUCAUAUAUGGAAAACGCCCUAUAGCACACUCAAGUACUACCAGGCCUAAACUCCAAAUAUCACUGCUAUAAUCGUAGGUGCUCCCACUAAUUCGCUCUGGCUAAAGAGGGGGAGAAAAAGAUCAUUACAACUGAAUUAUGAUUGAUAUAGAAACAGGUAACAACUACAUAAUUUUUUCCUUUUUUUUUUUUUUGGUGAGGGGUAUCAUAAUUAAUGAACUGGUCAAGUUAAUAGUUUUCGCUAUCUUGUGCUAGCACAGAAAUAAAACCAAGACAUACCGACAUGUAAUUGUAAGUUCCAACAAAUGUGUCCCUUUGGCCCAUAGAACUAGCUAGCAUUGCACUCACUCCAAAAUCAGUGAUCUUCACUUCUCCCUUCUGGUUUACCAAUAGAUUAGAUGGCUUAAUGUCCCUAUGUAUGACAUGCCGUUCGUGGUGCAGGUAAACAAGACCCUGUAAAACCUGUAAUAGAUGCAUAAUUAUCAGGAGAAAAGGAAGAAGAGAUCAACCAACUAUAAUGAUUCUUUUUUUCUUCUUUUUUUUUUUUUUGGCUUUCUAGAUUUCCAAGAAAGAAGCUUAUAAACCUGCUUACACACGACAGCUAGAUAAGGCUCAAGAAUGGUUUUAACUUGUCUAAUCACAUCCGCUAGAGAUCCACGGUCCAUAUAUUCCAACACAAGAGAAAUAGCUCCAUUGUGAUAGAAUGAGUGGUAGCAAACAACAACAUGAGAACACUGCGAGGCUUGGUUUAUUUUCAGCUCCUGAACAAUUUGUUUGCGUAUAUCUUCUUGUAUGUUCAUCUGGAUGACCUGUAAUGCACCAUUCAAUGAACUUCAAGGUUAUAAACAAAUAUGAUUCAUCAGUAUGAUCCGGAAUCAGAAAUGCCCUAAUCAUCCAAGAAAUCUCCAUUAUCUAAAGUUGAUGGAGUAAUAUUAUAAAUAUUCAAGGCAAGAUGUCAAAUUUUCAAGUGGAAAAUGAAGCGCAUUCACUCCCUCCAUUUAUGUGCUUCUUAUGGUUCAAAAGGACGUCAACAAAAUAAAUAGUCAGACCAUUAACAGCCUUACCGAUAUUUCCAUGUGAAGCAAACAAAACAAGAAUGUAAACAAUUGAAGUCAAUAUAUUUGUAUGAUAAUAGGUUUCUAGAAUAUCAAUUUGUGAGUCCAAAGAUUAAAAAGGCAAUAUAAAAAGCUUUUUAUAUUAGUGAAACAACCUUCAAUGCAAAAAAUGUGCCAAUCCAUUUAUGACGAACGAGUUGCACUACACCUCCACUCCCCUUUCCAAUGACUUUGAUUGUCUCAAGGUCUUCCAAUGAGAACUCAAAAUCAAGUUCUUUGUUUUCUGAAGGCUGUCCAAAUGGUAAGAAUGAAAUUAAUAAAAUAUUAACUUCUGCACUGUUCUGUAUAUAAUUCGAAAGAAAAGCAAGAUCUAAUCAUUAUAAGAAACCAUGGAAAACAGAAUGAAAGAGAGAGCUAGUAAUUUUUCUCAUUUGAAAGGAAGAAAAACUAAUGGAAUCUAACAGUUAUUAGUCGUAUCAGAUAAUAACAAUUCAAUCAACUGAAAACUAACUCGAAGUGGAUAUGAGAUCUUUUUUAUUAAAAAAAAUAAAAUAAAAUAAAUGCUACACACAGUUGAUUACAAAAUUACAGCACACUUACACGAGAUUCCUUCUCUUCAGAGAUAAGCCGGAGUCCUUUCUGAUUCAAAAGUAAAUCUCCAUCAUGAAAUGUACCGCUAGCAGUCCUGAAAUUUAACGGUAUACACAAAUUACUCAAGAAUAAAAACGCACAUCAGAUUAAUAUUAAAAAGCAAUCAACUGAAGCUUCACUUCUUUUUUUUUUUUUUUUCAAUCUUUCUUCUAAUUUUCAACACUUUGUAGCAUAAUCGACAAAAUACUGAGAUAAAAAAGAAACUGGAAGAGAAAUUAAGAGAGUGAAGCAAUGAUAAGAUAGACUUAUAGAUGACAAAGAAAAUUGAUCUAUCGAAUCGAAGUUUGCCAUAUAAAUACAUAUGAAGAAAUGGAAAGAGAGAACUUACAAGAAAGAGGUGAUGGGGGUUUCUUGAGCUGGAACAGAGAGCUUGAGUUGUUGCAAUGGCUUCUUGCUCUUCAUUUUUCAAUUUCAAAUUUCUGCUAAACUGAACUAUUUUGUUACGAAUUUUAGGGUUUUAAACUUCUUUUUUUUUUUUUUUUUUUAAAUAGUUAAAGAGAAAGCAUGAGAGAGGGAGGGCGAGAGGGGGUGUUUCGUUGCUUAUUGAGAAUGAGUCGAUUUUGACUCGUUGAUAAAGUGUACAUGAAUUCAAACAAGAAUACCGCGCAUUAUUAAAGUGGGAGAGUUAAUAUUUAGUCCCUAUAUUAUUUCCAAAAUAUAAUUUCAUCCUUAUAUUCUUAAGAAUUUACCAUUUAAUCCCUAUGCUUUAAAUCUAGUAAACACGUUAAUGUAGUCAGUGGUUACACGAGUCAUUUAGAUUCUUUAAUUUAUUUUAAUUCGAUUGUUAGUAAAGCGGACUCUAACUUCUCACGAAUGCUUAUGGAAUGAAGCAAGUAUAAUAUUUUUUUUUUCCUUACAUUUUUCUUUAUUUUUGUGAUUACUUUUUGAGAGAAUAGAUAUCAUUUUCAUAAGAUUUUUACAUUUUAAUUAAUAUUUAUUAUUAUUUGUAUUUUAAAUCACACUAAUUUUUCGCCAUCGACUUAGCUUGAUGCAAGCAAAUAUAAUCAUUAAAAUACUUAUAACAGUAAUAACUACGGUGAUUUAUAAGUGCUAGAACUUGAAACAAUAUUUAAGAGUAAUUGAAGAUAGUUGUUAAGUUUUUUUUUUUAAUAUAUUUUUAUUUAUGACUUUCAUAAUAAGUCAUUGCUAUGGAUAUUACUCUUAAAAUCUAGAUGCAUUUUAAAUUCAAAUGAUCGUUUUUUUUUUUUUGUAUUUAUUGGGAUUUAAUUACUAAAUUAUAUUGAGAAUGAUUUAUUGAAAGGUUUGUGUUGGAUUCUAAUUUAUAACUAUAUAAAGUUUUGGAUUCUUUGAUGCAUUUUUCUUAGAUUUCAAUUUUGAAUUUUGAAGAAGCAAAAAUAUUGCACUUUAAUUUUUUUACAUAAAUAUAACUUGAAAAAUAUGAGUAACAAUUUAAGAUCCUCCAAAAUAUUUCUUACCAAUUUAUACGUGCUACGUAACGUAUUCUAGUUAAGUGUAAUUAGGUAUUAUCCAAUUGAUAAAAAGGAAAGGGAAUUGACAUAAUUUUUAAAUAUACGUAUAACAUUAACAUAAUUUUUAAAUAUAUGUAUAACAUUAAAAUGAAGGGAAAAAAAAGUUAAAUAAGAUAAUUUUAUCUACUUAAAUGCACAAGUUUCUAUCCUAAAAAAAUACGUUGAAUCAAAAUAGACUUGAAAUUAAUUUUUUUUUUUUUAAAUUUGUUAUUUUUUAUGCAAAAUAUAUUAUUCAAAAUAUUUAUUUAUGAAAGAGAAUUCAUUUAAAUUGGGUUAAACUAUAUUUUUCACCCUUACACUUUCGAGUUGUUUCAUUUUUAUUUUAAAAUGACUUUUACUUUUUGUCACCCUAGAUUGCACUUUUUGUUUUUAUUUCACUCUAAUUUCAAAAUUGGACUGAAUUGAAUAAUUAAAAACAUUAACGGUAGGAAAACGUUUUAAGAGGACUAAAAGGAGGCUAUGCAGGAAUAUUUGACAUUCUCCCCUCUUUGUAAUCGUCCACACGUGUAAAUUCCCGAGGAAAAAAAAAUUCCAUAGAGUAAAAUGUAUUUUACUAUUUCCAUUCUUUAAAAAAAAUAAAAAUAAAAAAAAUCGAACGCGUAAGGAAACGUUUCGAAACGUUGCCAAUCCAAAUCACAUGGCCAUAGCUUCUUCUUCCCCCGACUUUAGCUUCGCAGAGACGAAAGCUUCCUUCCUUUUUGAAACGCAAAAACCAAAAACAAACAGUAAAAAAUAACCCCAAAUGCAAAAUAAUGGGCAACAAGAUCGCGCGCACAACGCAAGUCUCUGCCACGGAGUACUAUCUCCACGAUUUACCUUCUUCUUACAAUUUGGUGCUCAAGGAGGUGCUUGGUCGCGGCCGCUUCUUCAAGUCAAUUCUCUGUAAGCACGAUGAGGGUUUAGUCCUCGUUAAAGUCUAUUUCAAGCGAGGCGAUCCUAUCAAUCUGAGAGAGUAUGAGCGCCGUCUCGAGCAAAUCAAGGACACCUUCCUUGCCCUUGACCACCCUCAUGUCUGGCCUUUCCAGGUACAGCUUGAAUUUUCCUUUUUCUUCCCUGCAUUUUGUUUUGGCGUCUAGCUAAUAAUAUUUGAAGUUUUAGAUAACUGUAGUUUGGUUAGAAUUGAGAAUAUUUGAAUAAAAUUUUACUCAAUUGAAAAUUACUUAGCUAUAUAGUCGUGUAGACAUUUGAAGACAACGGAAGUGCGAGUUCGAGGUGAAUGUUUUGUUAUAGAGAAAAAUGACUGGUAACACCAGUGUGUUAGUCUGCGAAAUUUUGAUAUUAGCCUCAGUUAGCUGAGUUAUAUGGUUGUUCGGAGGCUAAGGUGUUAAGAAUUUUCUUAAUAUUUUUCGCUUACGUUACCUUUACCUUUUUAGGAAAUGAAAUUGAUCAUUAUUGCAUGAGCUUCUAAUAAUGUAAUGUUCUCUUCCAGUUUUGGCAAGAAACAGAUAAAGCGGCUUAUCUUUUGAGGCAAUAUUUCUUCAAUAAUCUUCAUGAUCGCUUGGGCACUCGGCCUUUCCUCAGUUUAGUGGAGAAGAAGUGGUUGGCUUUUCAGGUCUCUGUUUGUAUAUCUCUUAGCUAUCUGUCUAUUUGAUAAAUAACUUCUCACGGGAGAAAGAAAUUCAUGUUCACAUACCAUUUACUGGUGGUUUGCAGUUACUUCUUGCUGUGAAACAGUGUCAUGAGAAGGGUAUUUGUCAUGGUGAGUGCAGUAUGCUCAGAGAUUGUUGCUUUUGCAGUGAUAAUAUUUUGUUUUAUCCAUGUCCAUUUGCAUUGCAAUAGGUGAUAUUAAGUGUGAGAAUGUUCUGGUCACUUCCUGGAAUUGGCUCUAUCUUGCUGAUUUUGCUUCAUUUAAACCGACUUACAUUCCCUAUGAUGACCCAUCGGAUUUCUCAUUCUUCUUUGACACGGGAGGAAGAAGGCUCUGCUAUCUUGCGCCUGAGGUUGGUCCUUAACUGUUUCAUAAUCCUCUUUCUUCCUCUUCCCCUUCCCCUUCCCCUUCCCUCUUUUCUUCUAAAUGUAAGUCUAUAUUUAUCAGUAGUUUCUUAUAUGUCAAUUACAUUGUUUCCUUACAAUAGGCCAACUGAUCCUUGAUUAAGAAUUGUAAUGAGCCACCAGCUGAAUGACUGGCAUAUAUUUUGACUAGAAUUAAAGUUGCUGGUUUGCAGAUAUAAGUUAUGCUUGUGAGGGACACAUGCUAUGACCAAGGCUUUAAAUGUCAUGAACUGCAUUUGAAAACUAUUUGCUGUUAUACCUCUUUCCUUCCCCUUUUCCUUUAUAUUUUACAGUUUCUAUAUUCCUACAAGAUCAUGUGUCUAUAGUGUAUUAUAGUUACAUAUCCUUAUAUUUUCAGAGAUUCUAUGAGCAUGGAGGUGAGAUGCAGGUUGCUCAAGAUGCACCAUUAAGGCCCUCCAUGGAUAUCUUUGCUGUUGGGUGAGCAUUUGCAGUUACAAGCAUUUUUAUUAAAUUAGGGCAUCAAAUAAAUGGUGAUUGUAUCAGUUUUUUUCCCUUUUAGAAAUGACCUCUUUUCUUAAUUUCUUCAGUAAAUAAUUGGUGAGGUAAAGCAUGUUAAAAUUAGCAGGUCCUGCGUUUUAUCGUUUAUUCUUGAACAACUCAAAAUAAAAAUUUUGUUUUGUGAAGGUGCUGGUUAUUAAAGUUUUUUCAUGUGCUAGAGACUUGGGUUGUAAUCCUACCUGCUCCAAGAAAUAAGGAGUAUUAGGAUCUUGUGAGGUUGGAUUACGAUUGUCCUUUUACCUGAUAUUAUUGACCGUAGAUUUUUCCUUUUGUCAUGGUGGUUGUGGGGAGGGAAUGGUUCUGAAGAAGGCGUUGCAUUGCAUGAGGCUUUCCACAUUGUGGGCUCUAGGAAGGGUCAGAUGUAUGUAACGUUCCCCUUCUGCUAAUGAGUUUGUUUCUGUGGUUUGAACCUGUUAGUUCAGAUGCAUGAAAUCUUUCCAUGGGUGGGGUUUAGUGUUCUUUUCAAAUUUUAAAGCGAGAGAAUUCAAAUGCCAUUUCUUGUAGGAGUUUUGCCAUAAAUACAUCUAAUAUCAGUUCAACCAAUCUCUUAGGUCAUGCACUGGCUUUCUGUAUUUUGUUUUCUGUUUCAUGAUGUGAUAAUUGGUUUAUGGUGUUGUUGCAUGUAUAUAAUAGGUGUGUGAUUGCGGAGCUUUUCCUCGAGGGUCAGCAACUGUUUGAACUCUCCCAGCUUCUUGCUUAUCGUAGAGGACAGUAUGAUCCUAGCCAACAUCUUGAGAAGGUUCUGCCUCCCUCCUCCUCUCUGUACAUCUGUUCUAAUAUGCCAACCAAAGGGACAAAAAAGGAAAAAUAUUGUACUUAAUCUCAACUUGAAGUAUUGACUUUCUUCUGGUUUUGUACUUAUUCGAAAUAUAUUUGUAUGUUUCCUAUUAGCUUUAAAAUUUAAGUUUUCACUUUCACUUGUGUUGUUCUGCCUUUAUGAGACUUCUUAUAGCGUGAGCAAGAAUUAAUAAAUCAGUGCUCAGGUUACUUUGUUUUUUCCUCUUAAAUUUUGUAUUGGUUCUUACUUGUGCUUGACAAGUUUUUUAUUAAUUCAUCUGCUUUGUGAAUACAGAUUCCAGAUACUGGAAUCCGAAAGAUGAUUCUUCAUAUGAUCCAGUUGGAACCAGAGGCACGACUUUCUGCGGAAAGCUACCUGCAAAGUUAUGCAGCUGUUGUGUUUCCAACCUACUUCUCACCGUUUCUGCAUAAUUUCUACUGCUGCUGGAAUCCUCUUCAUUCUGAUAUGAGGGUAAGAUAUUUUAUAAUACAUGAAGUAAAAUUGGUUGUACCUAUUGCUAUUAACAUGAGCCUGGCUGCUGUUUUAUUUAGGUUGCGAUGUGCCAGAGUGUUUUCCAUGAAAUACUUAAGCAAAUGAUGGGCGACCGGACAAGUGAAGAGACUGGAGCUGGGAAUAGUACAUCUGAAAAUGGCGUUAGUGGUUACCCGUCAUUAGAGACAGUUGAAAUACAAAACUUGGACUUGGCAAGGGACUCAAGAAAGAGAGAAAUGACCGAUAAAGGUAUAGUUCGUGAUCAAUACAAGCUUCUUGGUGAUAUUAGUACCCUUCUUGGGGAUGUAAAACAAAGCAAUGACUAUUCUAGUGUCAAGUUGAUGCCUGAAAGUGCACCCAGUUCUGCAUUUUCCCAGGACAUUAAGCAAUGCAGCAUACAAUCACCUGGCGAGCUUCUUCAGGCUAUCUCCAAUGCAUUUAGGAAAAAUGAUCAUCCCUUUUUGAAAAAGAUCACAAUGGAUGAUUUGAGUUCGUUGAUGUCUGAGUAUGACAGUCAAUCUGAUACCUUUGGCAUGCCUUUUUUACCUUUACCAGAAGAUAGUAUGAAGUGUGAAGGUAUGGUUCUGAUUGCCUCUCUCCUUUGUUCCUGCAUACGCAAUGUCAAGUUGCCUCAUUUGAGGAGGGGGGCCAUACUUCUACUGAAGUCUUCUUCAUUAUAUAUUGAUGAUGAAGAUCGCUUGCAGCGUGUACUGCCUUAUGUUAUUGCUAUGCUCUCGGAUCCAGCAGCAAUAGUGCGUUGUGCUGCCCUAGAGACUCUGUGUGACAUUCUGCCUUUAGUUCGAGAUUUUCCACCUAGUGAUGCAAAGAUAUUCCCCGAAUAUAUUCUUCCGAUGCUUUCCAUGCUUCCUGAUGAUCCAGAGGAAAGUGUGAGAAUAUGUUAUGCUAGCAAUAUAGCUAAGCUGGCUCUAACUGCUUACGGUUUCUUGAUUCACUCUAUAAGCCUGAGCGAGGCUGGUGUCCUUGAUGAAAUGACUUCAGCACGCAAGUCAUUAGCAUCAUCCAUUGAGACAUCCAGACAUCAGCAGAGGGUGAAUAAUAAUUCACAGCUAGCACAGCUGAGGAAAUCCAUUGCUGAGGUUGUUCAAGAACUUGUGAUGGGCCCAAAACAAACUCCAAAUAUCAGGAGAGCGCUCCUUCAGGACAUUGGCAAUCUAUGCUGCUUCUUUGGUCAGAGACAGAGUAAUGACUUUCUGUUACCAAUCCUUCCUGCGUUUCUCAACGAUCGAGAUGAGCAACUAAGGGCAUUAUUCUAUGGGAAGAUUGUAUAUGUCUGCUUCUUUGUGGGCCAAAGAAGUGUAGAGGAGUAUCUUCUACCUUACAUCGAGCAAGCUUUAAGUGAUCAAACUGAGGCUGUCAUUGUUAAUGCAUUGGACUGUUUGGCAAUCCUAUGUAAACAUGGCUUCUUGCGGAAGCGAAUAUUGCUUGAAAUGAUAGAACACGCCUUUCCUUUGUUAUGUUAUCCAAGUCAGUGGGUUAGAAGAUCAGCUGUCACUUUCAUUGCAGCCAGCAGUGAGAGCUUAGGUGCUGUGGAUUCCUAUGUUUUCCUUGCACCAGUUAUACGCCCUUUCCUUAGAAGACAACCUGCUUCCCUAGCUUCUGAGAAGUCUCUACUUUUAUGUUUGAAGCCUCCUGUCUCCAGGCAGGUAUUUUACCAAGUUUUAGAAAAUGCUAGAAGUUCAGAUAUGUUGGAGAGACAGAGAAAAAUAUGGUACAAUUCGUCAACACAGUCCAAACAAUGGGAAAGUGCUGAUGUGCUCAGAAGAGAGGAUGGGGAAGUAAAUUCUGUGAAGAGUUGGUCUGACAAGAAAUCAAGUCCUGAUAUUCAGAAACACGAUAUUAAUGCAUUGGAGCAGCAAGAGGAUGGUGAGGCAAAGCUGAGAGCUAUUGGCUUGAUAAGCAAUGUUUCUAGUGUGGUUGACAUUCGUGAUCCCCUAAGCUCAGAAAAGUUGCAAUUCUCAGGCUACAUGUCUCCACAGGUUGGUGGCGUGAAUAGCUUCAUACAUGAUAAGUCCUCAGAGGGCAUACCUUUGUACUCUUUUAGCAUGGACAGGCGAGCAGUGAAAAUUCCUCCUGCAGCUUCUGAUUCUUCAUUGCGUAUGAACUCUCUUGGAAUUGGUUCAUCUUACAUGCCUUGGAUGGAUCCAGUAAACAAAUCAUUUAGCUUGGCUAGUUCUGUUCCUGCACCUAAGCUGGUUUCUGGCUCUUUCAGCAUCAGCAAUGGAUCUAAACAGUUCUACAGAGUGGUACAUGAACCAGAAAGCAGGGAAAGUGAUCAGACAUCAUAUGUUAAUAGUAAAUUUCAAGAGAUGGGAUUAUCUGGUGCAACGAAGGGAGGAUCUUUUACAGUGGAAGAUGCUUCUGCUCCAACUGAUUUAACAGGAUUGCCGUCCUUUGCUCGGACUGCAUCAGUUCCAGACUCAGGUUGGAGACCUCGUGGAGUGUUGGUAGCACACUUGCAGGAGCAUCGCUCAGCUGUCAAUGAUAUUGCAAUUUCAAAUGAUCAUAGCCUGUUUGUAAGUGCAUCUGAUGAUUCAACUGUCAAGGUGUGGGAUUCAAGAAAGUUGGAGAAGGACAUCUCCUUCAGAUCAAGGCUCACUUAUCAUUUGGAAGGAAGUCGAGCACUUUGCACUGUAAUGCUCCGCAACUCUCCUCAAGUUGUUGUUGGAGCGUGCGAUGGCGUGAUGCAUCUAUUUUCUGUUGAUCACAUAUCUAGGGGCCUUGGCAAUGUUGUUGAGAAGUAUUCAGGUAUUGCUGAUAUAAAAAAGAAGGAUAUCAAGGAAGGUGCAAUACUUAGCCUUUUGAACUACACUGCAGAUAAUAGUGCUAGUCAGAUUGUCAUGUAUAGUACUCAAAAUUGUGGAAUCCAUCUCUGGGAUAUUAGAGCAAAUGCAAAUGCGUGGACAUUAAAAGCUGUUCCUGAGGAAGGUUAUGUUUCUUCUCUGGUAACAAGCCCCUGUGGGAAUUGGUUUGUCUCAGGAUCUUCGAGGGGUGUGCUCACACUUUGGGAUCUAAGGUUCCUCAUACCUGUGAACUCAUGGCAAUAUUCUCUUGUAUGCCCCAUAGAAAAGAUGUGCCUCUUUGUUCCUCCUCCAAAUGUCACAUUGUCUAGUACUGCACGACCCCUAAUAUAUGUUGCUGCUGGUUGCAGUGAAGUUUCUCUAUGGAAUGCCGAGAAUGGGAGCUGUCACCAGGUACAUGGCAAUUGUUUUUAUUUUUUUAAUACACAACCUCUGGGGUGUUGCAUGGGUGAUAACUUGACAAGACGUGUUCACACACUUUGUGAACAUUGAAAAAGUGCAGACAAAAAUCAAAAUAUUUGUAAAUUUACUUGUUGGGUUUUGAUGGAGGAAAAAGGUGGUCUUGAUGAUUAAUUUUUGUAAAGGCUGAAAAUGGUUACUUUAGUUUAUUUUAUUUUGUUAAGGAAGUAGUUGUUGUGGUCUCAUACUGCUAAGUCUUAAGUUCUUUGUUGUUUCUGCAGCUAAUCUGAUUAGUUGACAAGCUUAUCCCUAUAUGUCCAACACCCCAUCUUUCCCUAGAUCUGAUCCUAACCAUCAGAGUUUUUCAACAAACUAGCCUGAAGUGACUAGUAUUGAAAAGGAAAUUUGGCUAAGGUUAUGUGAUGAGCACAUGGAGAGUCCUCUUGUAACUUUAUGGAAUUUUUGUCUUAUUUAUUUAUUUAUUUAUUUUUCAGGUAUUGAGGCUGGCAAAUUAUGACAAUGAUAUUGAAAUAUCUGACAUGCCAUGGGCCUUGGCCAGACCAACCGGUAAGGCAAACCUUAAACCAGAUAUGAGGCGGAAUGUCAAUCCGAAGUAUAAAGUUGAUGAGCUGAAUAAUCCUCCUCCCCGUCUUCCUGGUAUCCAUUCAAUGCUUCCUUUACCUGGGGGUGAUUUGUUGACUGGUGGUACCGACUUGAAGAUACGUCGGUGGGACCAUUUCAGGUUAUUGCUUGAAUUUUCCUUGUUCUCCACCUAAUCUUCAUCUUAUGGCAGUGAACUGAUGCUGCUUCUUUAUGACUGUAGCCCUGAAAGAAGUUACUGUAUUUGUGGGCCAAAUUUGAACGGAGUUGGAAAUGAUGAUUUAUUUGAAAUAAAAUCAAGUUUUGGAGUUCAAGUUGUACAGGUAUGUUGAAGUUUUCUAGAUUCUUUUCCAGUACAGAUUCUUUGAACUUUAAGCUUCAAUUCUUUGAUAAAUUUCCAUUUAUUUUCUUUUCUUCAUGCAAAUAGGAUUUUAUUGUGGAGGUAUUUUCUAAAAUAAUAGGACUAGUAGUCUGUAAUUCAUUAUUGCAAAAGAUCAUCUGAAACUUGGUAUUCUCAGGUCAAAUUGUUACUGAAACAAUACAAUAAUCUGAAUAUUAAAUUGUGCUUGUGAGUAAUUGGAAAAAAAGAAACAUGGAAAGUUUGCUUUUAUUUUUGUCCUCCUUAAUAAACAGGUGGCCAUUGUUCGUCUUUUCUAUGUAUUCUUAUCUUAUCCAAUUGCAUCAAUGGUUAGCUUAUUUUCAGUUGCAACCAACAUGAAUGCUGUUCAUCGUUGCAUCUUUUGAAUGAAAAUUUAUGGUAUCGUAUAGUUCAUGUUACUUAUAUUAUCGGUCAAUUCCUAUCACUCUUGUCUUUACGUAUAUCCUUUGUUAAUUUCACAGCAUUUUAAGUCACUUAAAAGUGUUGGCUGCUUACAGUUGAUGUUAUAAUAGGUGGCUGAAUACCUCUUUUUAAUUUAUUUCCUAAGCAUUUUAGGUUUGUAAUGCCAAAAUUAUGUUUCUUCCCAACAGGAGACAAAACGGCGAAAUCUAACACCCAAGUUGACUGCAAAGGCUGUUCUUGCAGCUGCUGCUACUGAUUCUGCUGGCUGCCACCGAGAUUCCAUCCUCUCUUUGGCUUCUGUCAAGUUGAACCAGAGACUUUUGAUUUCAAGCAGUAGAGAUGGGGCUAUCAAGGUUUGGAAGUAAUUUAACCUAAGCAUUAAAGUGCUCUAUUGUACAUAUGAUAUUGAUUUUGUAUAUAGCAUAUUAAGACUAGGAAGUUAAUUUUCCUUUGGUUUUAUUCUCAACCACUUGCCUAUACCAUAUAACUAGCAACCCUCCAAGAAAGGAAAAGAAAGCCCUUUUAGGAUUUGUACAGUGAUCAGUUAUACACUUCAUAAUUUAUUUACUGAAGGAAAAUAGCUGUGGUAUCUAAGUGUUCAUAAAAUUAUCUUCGCAGUCAUUUUGUACUCUUGCUUAUACAUGUAACCUUCAGAGUAUGCUGCCUCAUUUUCUGUUCACCUGGACCUUAUUAUCUCAUUUUCUAUUGGCUACUGGAACCAUCUAAUUGUCUAGAUAACAGUUAUGGAGGUUGUAGGGUACGGAAGGUGUGAUUACAUUUGACAAUUGAUUGGAUAUUAUCCUUAAAUCCCAUGCUAUGGUGGUAUUCUUUGAUAGUAAGAUGAUAAUGAGAAAAAAAAAAAAGGAGCACAAAACCCUAAAUAUUACUCCCUCCGUCCCAUUUUAUUUGCAUGGUUUGACAAAACACACAUAUUAAGAAUUUAGUCAAUAAAAGUUAUUUUGUCUUUUUUUACCCUUAACUCAUUAAGAUAUUAAUAAAAGUUUUUCAUUUAAUGAAGGAUCAUAAAAGUUAUCAUGGGAAAAAUAAUUAUUCACAUGUAUAAAUUUCGAAACCUUGCAAACAUUUUGGGACAUCCGAAAAAGGAAUAACAAGCAAACAAAAUGAGACGGAGGGAGUAUUUUAUUUUUGUUGUUAUUAUUAUCAUUAAGGUAUGUUUUGGCUCUUAUGUGAAAAAAUAGAUUGAAAGACCAGCUACAUAUUAGAUGGCUCAAUGCAUCCUGGUGAAUACCAUCUGAAAUUUGGUUCUCUUUUCAUAUAAACUAUGCUUAUAUUAGAUGACUGUUGGAAUGUAGGCUGUGUGAGUACUAUCUGAAAUUUGGUUCCGUUUUCAUAUAAACCAUGCCUAUUGUAUGUCUAGGAACUCAGUCUCUAUCUUGCUAUUUUUUGGGUUUUACAUUUCACUGCAUCUUAUUUCAUUGUGCUAAUGACCCAAAAAAAAAAAUCCGAGCAACAAAAGUCAACAACUAACAUUAGUCCUAAACUCAAGCAUUAUCAAAAAAGUGCAAUUGUACCGAAACCUUCAGCUAAGAUUCGUUGCCAUUGUACCCAUUUGAUCUAAAGUACACCAUCACUUUUUUGCAAUUAAGUAGAAUUGACAAAGAGUCGUGUCAGAAUUGAUUUUGGAGACGAGUGAUUGUAAAACAUUAUAGUUAUAAUAUAUUGUAUUUCAUUUCAAUUAUGAUCAAAUGGGUAGACUUGCUAUGAAUAUUUAAAGGUCAGGGUAAAAUGGUGUAUUCUGGAAGGUUUGAAUUUUUGACCAUUAAGCCUAUUUAAUUUGGUGUUAUGUCUUGUGAUUUUAUGAAUUGGCGUUGACACUGAAUGUUGCUUUGUCACUGCAUAUUGAGUUUUAAGAGUUUUUCAUAUUUUAGGAAAGUGCCAUUUAGUGAGAGUAUUAUCAUUUCUAUUCUUUUAAUCCUGAAAAUUUCAUGUCAUAUUCCUGUUUUGCUUUGGGUUUCUUAUUUGUGGUGUUUUGUAAUCUAUGCCAAUCCAAACUUCUUGUUUCUAGUGAAUUUUUGGUGUGCUCUGCGGCAAAUUGUUAUUAUGAGGGUAAUUACCUAAUGACCUUAAUGUUUCCUCGUUUUUUUUUUUGGCUUUCUCCUGUCCUUUGCAACUAUUUCCACCAGAAAAUGCCUAUAAAACAAGCGUAGCAAUAUGAGAACAUUUAGUAAUCAAUGCAUACAUCAAAUGCAACAUAAAGUUGCACCAACUUGGAAUGGUAGGAUGGUUGAGUAACAAGGAACUGACCAUGGAUAAGUGGACAGAGCUGCAAGAGAAAGAGGUGGUCAGAUAGAAUAUGUUUCUAGGUAAUAAUAGACUAAAUAAUUUGCUUAAAGUUUAGCCAAGAUAGAUUCUAAUGAUGGAAUUGGCUAGACUUUAGUUGGGUCACAAGGCCUUGUUUAGGUCUUUAGCGUUGGUAUUGUUUUUUUUUUAUGUUCUGCAAUACUGAGAUAAAGAUAUCUUGAGUUUUAUAGUUGACAAGGAUUUUGGUGAUGGAAUCCAAUCCAUACAAUGCUUGCUCAAACCUUUUAUUUGAGUUAAUUGCUGAUGGAGUAUUUUAUUUUUGUUGUUAUUAUUAUCAUUAAGGUAUGUUUUGGCUCUUAUGUGAAAAAAUAGAUUGAAAGACCAGCUACAUAUUAGAUGGCUCAAUGCAUCCUGGUGAAUACCAUCUGAAAUUUGGUUCUCUUUUCAUAUAAACUAUGCUUAUAUUAGAUGACUGUUGGAAUGUAGGCUGUGUGAGUACUAUCUGAAAUUUGGUUCCGUUUUCAUAUAAACCAUGCCUAUUGUAUGUCUAGGAACUCAGUCUCUAUCUUGCUAUUUUUUGGGUUUUACAUUUCACUGCAUCUUAUUUCAUUGUGCUAAUGACCCAAAAAAAAAAAUCCGAGCAACAAAAGUCAACAACUAACAUUAGUCCUAAACUCAAGCAUUAUCAAAAAAGUGCAAUUGUACCGAAACCUUCAGCUAAGAUUCGUUGCCAUUGUACCCAUUUGAUCUAAAGUACACCAUCACUUUUUUGCAAUUAAGUAGAAUUGACAAAGAGUCGUGUCAGAAUUGAUUUUGGAGACGAGUGAUUGUAAAACAUUAUAGUUAUAAUAUAUUGUAUUUCAUUUCAAUUAUGAUCAAAUGGGUAGACUUGCUAUGAAUAUUUAAAGGUCAGGGUAAAAUGGUGUAUUCUGGAAGGUUUGAAUUUUUGACCAUUAAGCCUAUUUAAUUUGGUGUUAUGUCUUGUGAUUUUAUGAAUUGGCGUUGACACUGAAUGUUGCUUUGUCACUGCAUAUUGAGUUUUAAGAGUUUUUCAUAUUUUAGGAAAGUGCCAUUUAGUGAGAGUAUUAUCAUUUCUAUUCUUUUAAUCCUGAAAAUUUCAUGUCAUAUUCCUGUUUUGCUUUGGGUUUCUUAUUUGUGGUGUUUUGUAAUCUAUGCCAAUCCAAACUUCUUGUUUCUAGUGAAUUUUUGGUGUGCUCUGCGGCAAAUUGUUAUUAUGAGGGUAAUUACCUAAUGACCUUAAUGUUUCCUCGUUUUUUUUUUUGGCUUUCUCCUGUCCUUUGCAACUAUUUCCACCAGAAAAUGCCUAUAAAACAAGCGUAGCAAUAUGAGAACAUUUAGUAAUCAAUGCAUACAUCAAAUGCAACAUAAAGUUGCACCAACUUGGAAUGGUAGGAUGGUUGAGUAACAAGGAACUGACCAUGGAUAAGUGGACAGAGCUGCAAGAGAAAGAGGUGGUCAGAUAGAAUAUGUUUCUAGGUAAUAAUAGACUAAAUAAUUUGCUUAAAGUUUAGCCAAGAUAGAUUCUAAUGAUGGAAUUGGCUAGACUUUAGUUGGGUCACAAGGCCUUGUUUAGGUCUUUAGCGUUGGUAUUGUUUUUUUUUUAUGUUCUGCAAUACUGAGAUAAAGAUAUCUUGAGUUUUAUAGUUGACAAGGAUUUUGGUGAUGGAAUCCAAUCCAUACAAUGCUUGCUCAAACCUUUUAUUUGAGUUAAUUGCUGAUGAUAAUUGCAAAUCAGAAGAGAAAUUUGGCAAGAUAGCUUUUUAACUGGAAUUUCAAAAACAUCCACAAUAGUCUUUAUUAGUUCAUAUUCUUUGUUUGUGUAUUGUACAUAUUCAUGUUAGUUCACCGCUGAGGACUAGCGACACUUGUCUGACAGCUCUGGAGACUCUCCAAACUUCAUGUUGUACACUUUGCCAUGACUCUGCAGUCUUAAGCCUCUUUGCUUUUUCAAUGGCAUCAUCAAUACCUGGGAAGGAGUUUGAUCCGUAGACAUUAUGCUUUGCAGGUGCAUAUAUCUGCAGGAUAUAGAAAUAUUAGCUUGAUCCUUCUUGGAUAGUUGGAGCUGUGCUUUCUCUUUUGCAUAUAUGCUUUGAUGUUUUCACAAUGGGCUUUGUCACAAAACUCGUCUUUUUGUGUAUGCUAGAUUUCAAAAAGAAAUUGGUGAACAUGGAAAACAACUUAAAUUAGGGAUUCAGGAAUCAUUUAAGGAAGCACGUACCAAAUGCUUAUACCAUGGCCUACCGGAGAGUCCAUCUUGGUCUGUAAAUGCUCUUUCUGCCAUCAUCAGCCUGUCAUUGAUCUCUCUUACUUUUAGGUGGUCUUUCUUCAAUAUUGAUGUCCAGCCUCUGCUUUCUUCUAUUGCCUGGAAAGUAAUACUUCUGUUUUAGAAACAUUCUUUAUGCCUGUCUUGAGAUACAGAUGCUUUGAUUAUACCUUUCUCUUCUUAUGUAUCUUGGUGGCUGCUUUGGUUAGCUCGUCAAUGGACUUGAACAAUGGAUCAAGGCUUAUGCCCUUGUUUGAGAUCACAUCUUCCAACUCCUUUGCGCUUCUCUGUCACAUAUUAAUUUGAUUUCUUGGAUUAACUUUUGUCACUGAACUCUCAGUCGGAAAUUGUAUACAAUGUUUGUUUACCAUUUCAACUUAAAGAUACCUGGAGCUCAUAUGCAUAGGAUAGAUAAUUAAAAGGUAAAAACUCCUCAUCUGCUAACCAAAGAGCAACCAAACCCCAAACGCUAGCCACUGUGUUUUCAAGGGCAGACUUAAGAGCAAAGAAAAAAUUGGCAAAAUAAAAGAAAAGAAAAAUAUAUGUAUUUUCAGGCAUAGUUCAAUUGACAUUUUAGACUCUUUAUGAUUCAUAACUUGGUGCAAAUACCUUAUAUAGCAAUAACUACCUGUGUGUUGGUUCCUUUUAUGUUCUGAAUGGUUUUUGAUAUGAAUUUCUUACAAGUUGAAUUGCUUCAAAAUUAAUAUUUGUGUAUAAUUGCACAUUCUAUAAUCAAUAUGCUAUAAAUAAAGAAUAUUGUGGAUUGUUUUUGGCUGGAGUAAGAUUUCAUAUUUUUAGAUCCUUAUAGAUAGAAGUUUGAUGUCAAACCUGCAACAUGUCUUUGAAACAUUGGAUCACCAAACUUCUUCAUCCAGAUGAAGUCAUCAUACAUUGAAUGGUAUACUGGGUAACCUGUGGGUGAUUGUUAGCAUCAGAAAGUCAUCAUAUAUGCAUUAGUAUAUGCGUGUGAUCUGAAGUAAAAGAUUGUACUGAGGGGGGUCAGAGGAUGUAAUAUUUUUGUUACCUUCUCCAUAAGACACAUCAGCUGAUGCAACACCAAUAUGUUGCACAAAGGCUGCAUAAUCUGAUCCUGCACGGCCUAAUCUCCCAAUCUUCAUAUACAAAGUACAAAUUAGUGGGUGUUAAAUAGUUUCAAGUUACAUAAUAAGCUGAAAACAUUCACAUGAUAAGAGUCAUCUUCCAGCUGUAAGUUAUGCUCUGUGCAGUAUGAUUGCAGGUAAUAAAAUGUAGUUCGUCUUGCUUGAAAGGUUCAUUAGGAUCACAUUAUGAAGUGGUAGAAUGAGAUUAGGUAAUGUUUACCUCAGGAGAGCUGCUGGAAACAAUCCAUGAUUCGUAGAUGGUCUGUGAUGUGUUUUCUGGGUCUUUAACCUUCACAAAUAAGUACUGAAUGUGAAUCUGAUUGUGAUGAGUGAGAGGGAUGACUUGGUAAUAUUGUACUCCAGAGAAUCAUGCUCAUACAGAUAUCUUGUUUUAUUAUUAUUAUUAUUAUUAUUAUUAUUAUUAUUAUUGUUUUCAGUAUAUCAAAAAGUUUUUAAGGGGAAGGGGGUGCUCUGGUUUGAACUUCUGACUUCCUAUGGUACAAAGCUGACACUUGAUCAUUGGCUUACCAGCAUAAUGGCUUUUGGUAUCAUUUUUGAAAUUGCUUUAUAUAACAGGAAAACAGAUAGAAGAAAUAUUUUCCUUUCGUGGCUUAAAUAUCAUUACUUUAUUGCUUAUGCUUUCUGGUGAUGCUACUUAGUUCUAGUUAUUUGGAUACCUGCUGAGUAGCCUGUAUGAGCAGUUCAUCAAGUUGAGGAGUUGCAGAGGCAUAAAAUCCUGCUCCAUGUACUGCAGAGUCAACAUUUAAGUACGCUACAGACCCUGAAGCUAGCAUUUCUCUGUUAUCUUCAACCCACUCAGUUGAUCCUAUCUGGAAAUAACACUUGGUUUAUGUCACACAUACACACGCAGUUGCAUUCAUACUCAAGUGCAAACACACAAACACAGGGAGAGAGAGAGACCAGGCCAUAUUCCUCAGCAUCCCAGUUGCACAAGACAAUUGUUCUUCGUGGUUUCCAUCCUCUUUUCUGUAGCUUUGCCAAUCUCUGAGCGACCUACAAUGCAUAUCAAAGUUUUGUCAAGGGCUUAUAGUUCUUAUGCUAUUAUUUACUCCUAUGCUAUUAUUUUCUUUGAUUGAGAAGAUAGUUAAUAAGGCAGCAUGUAUUGGAGCCACAAAUACCUCUAGCAUUGCUGCUGUGCCACUGUUGGGAUCAACUGCUCCAAAUGUCCAUGCAUCCCGAUGAUUACCCAGAAGGACAAAUCUAGAAGUAAUUGUAGCAGGGUGAUUAAAUCAUUAGAAGGGGCAUAUAUGUUUUGCUAAUUGCUUGAUCUCUUCUUUUAUUUUAUUUUGCUUUGGUGAUUACUAAAGUACUAUAAAGGUGCUUAAAUAUACAAAUUUAGCAGACAGAUUACAUGUUCUAGCUGUUUAAAUGUUUCUCACCGAUCAGGUUCUUCUGCUCCUUCAAUCACACCAAUAACAUUUUGAAUUGUUGCUACCGUCUGCUUUCCCUGAAAUCUUGUCGAUAGGUGGAGUCAUAUAGAAGUUCUUUUUGAUAGGUAGGCCUUUUUUAAUUUGUUUGUCUGUGUGUGCGUGUGUUUUCAAGUGUUUCAAUUGUAUGAUGCAUGAGAUAUAUUCUAUACUGAAACUAGGUUGUUGAAUACUUACAGUAUAACUGAGGUUUAAAACCCCUGGCCCUGGUCCAACCCUGUAAACUGGACCAUCUUCGCUUCCUUGCCAGUCCUCAUUUGCUAUUUGUCCACUGAUUGAUCUCAUAAUUGUUUCACCAUCAGUUGCUGAUAUUGGCAAUGAAGGUAUCAAUGGAACAUAUCCUCCCUUUUCUACUUCAUUAUCUGAUAACCUCUCGCAACCCUGGAUACUUGCCCAUCCAGGCGUGGUAGGAUCACCAGCACCAUCAUAAACAGAUCCUACCUGAACUCCACUUGGUGGCAUCCACUUCGCGUAUGGAAACCAUCCUUCUCCACUGUCUCCACCGCCAUAGUCUUUCCUGUCUGUAUAGAUGACUGCCCCUAUAGCACCGGCCUCAAAUGCAUUAUGCACAAUAUCUCCUCUAUAAAUUUUUCCAUACCUUGCUAAUACAAUAGUGCCGGAGACAUUCAACCCCAUUUCUUUCAGUGUUGUAUAAUCUUCUACUCGUCCAUAGUUCACAUAGGUCGCAGGUCCACUUACCGUACCUGACUUUGCAUAUGCAUGAAAAGUUGGUAGAACUUCAUCUGCUACAUCUGCAUAUGGAUCUCCAUCAUAUAUCUCUUGAUGGGGAUCGAAAAUGAUCGGCUUUUCUGUAGGUAGGGUUGUUAGAGCUAAAGAACGCGAAACAGGAUAAGUUAGGGACACAUCAUAGGAGGCGAUGUGUGAUUCUAUAUUGUAGGAAUUGAGUGUAGAUAGAACAUAGGCUGCAUCCUCUGCGUUGGCUGGUGUGCCGGCAACAUGUGGCCGACGGGUGAGCAUGUAGAGAUUAUGCGAUAUUGAGGCAUUGUCAGAUAGGGAUUCAGAUAUGUAGAGGGAGUGAUAGUAGGAUUUUGGACAAGUGAAGAGCAAGGAGAAAGAUGUUGCAAUGGCAAGGAAGACAGCGGUGACUGUUUUGAACAUGACGCUUAGUUGUUUUUGGUAACUUAGAGAACAGAGGUUAUACUUACUGCUGAUUGUUGUUGAAAAGGCUAUUGCAGAGGUAUCUUUUAGAUUUUAGCAAGAGAAAGCUGAGUCAAUGUCUUACUGGAGAUUGCAGAGAAAACGAGGAAAGUUAUUUGUCCUAUUAUUCGUGUAAAAAUUGUUUCUGGAGUUGAUAAUGAUUUUAAUAAACAAACUUUAUAUUCUGCUUUCAAAGAAAAAUACGAGUACGACACCAUUUGCUAUUUUGUUAGAUAGUGGCCAUAUACGAUAUCCUGUCAUUUCUUUUUUCUUGCUUUUUGAUUGAUUUGAGACAGGGACCAUUUCCUACCUUUUAUUCAUUAUCCAAGUGGAGGACUGGAUAGUGAUGAACUGGACGUCCCUUUUUCAGAAAUGGAAGGCACGUCAACAUGGUUGGGAUUCCGUCGUCUAUCUAAUGUGACUUGCAUAAAAAUGUAAGGUUUGUGGAUUUUAUCUUCUCUCUGAGUCUCCUAUGCGUCUUAUUUCUGCCUAUUACAGAUCCUUUUUCUUUUUUAAUCUCCGAUUUUGGUUAAUCUUUCUUCCUUCCCCUCUAACAUUGGGUUAGCCCAACGGUUAAGAGAAAGUAGAUGUCAUUGACAUCUUAUCAUCUGAUUGACAAGUCUUUCAAUUCAAGAGCUUGUUUACUGUAAAUUUUACAUAAAAAGACAAGAUACCCUCUCAUCAAUCAGCAUAGGGGUGAUAAGGAGCUCGUUAAAGAGCAAAAUACCGAUUGUUAUGCAAUCAAUUUCAACAGCUUUUUGAUGGAAGUAGAUUACUCAAGUUCUUAGGUUUGAUGCUCCUCUUCCUGCUUAUCCAUCAUGUAGAUAGAGCUUCAAUAUUAUUGUAUGCAGGAUUUGGAGAUCCAAAUUGUCAAUUUUAUAUCUUUUAUUUCUUCUUGGCCUUCGUUAGAUUAUGUAUCACAUAUUAUUACUAAAGUCUAUUAAAACUCAUAAUCAAUCAUUUGAUAGCAUCUUUUCCUGUGAAUUGCAUUUGGUAGUUGCCAAAUAUAUUGUCUAGAAACUAUAGAUAAUUUUUUUUUCUCUCCAAACUUAUGUAGUUUACAAAUUAGCGUUACCUUUGAAUUGUAAUAAUGAUAUUUCUUUAUUUGAUUGGUAAGUAUAUAUCUUUUUGUUUAAUAAGGGUCAAAUGCAUAUGAACUAUUAUAGUUUUUCAUUGUUUGUAAAUUUUAUAUUUAUUAAAUACUUUAACUUAUAAAAUAAUUAAUGAUUUUGAAGAAACAUCAGUUGAGGAUGAAUGUAAAAUUUUCUUGGACCGUACUGGUCUCCGGGAGCAUGUGUAAUCGAGGAUGGUGUUUGGACAGAUGAAGUCACGGGACCAGAUUUGAUUUCAAUUAUUAAUCGUCUUUUUGACAAAAUCUACAUUUUAAUAUCUUCCUAGAUUUAAAUUUAAUGUUCAUUUCUAAAUUGAUUUUACGUUAUUAUCAAUUGAGAACAACUGUCUCAGUUCCAAAGGCCGAUGGAGGGGGCGGAUGGGUGGCCGUGGCCCCCAUCCCAUAACAUAUAAAGUUUUUUAAGAUUGACCUUUUAGAAAGUAAAAAUUUUCAAUUUUACCUCUUGUGUAUAUAUCUUUUUAACUAGCCAAAUCGAUAAUUAAAAAAUGAUUAAAAUAUUAACUUAAUUUUAUUAGCUAAGAUUUGUAGGUAUAAUGUAAUUAUUCGGCAUACCUUAAGCUAUGGGCUAAACAGUCUUCUGAGCCAGCCCAUAUAUUCUUCUUCUUCUUCUUCUUCUGUUCUUUUUAUUAUUUUGUUAUUUGAACUGAGCCUAUCCAUUUCGUCUUAUAAUGAUCUCUCCACCAAACGAAUGGGACCGGUACUGCUACAGUGACACUACUCAAGAAAAAAGCAGAAGAAGAAAAUGCUACUUUUCUCACAGCCAAAAGGUAAAUAUAAAUAAGGGAAAGAUCCAAAACCCAAACACAAAUAAAUUCUCUUUCUCACAUCGCCAAAAUUCUCUACAACAGCUACCUAAAUUCAGUCUCAUCAAACAUUUGUUUCCUUUAUCCAUCUCUACCAAGUGGAGCCUACCAAUUUCUUUUACAUUAACAGUUAAUCACUCUGUGACUUGCCACAAUGCCCUGAAAUAAUGAAGCCAUGUUGAGGACUGUUGAACUUAAAUUUUACUCAGAUAAAGAUAUACGUACCUCAAACUUAAACUUAUUCGUAAUUUAUAAUGAAAAGAAUUAUACUUUUAUAGACUCAAACUCGAACUAGGCUUAUUUAAAUUUAUAAUUAAACUUGAGCGGAUUAUCUAGAUUUAUAAAAAUUUCUUGAAAAAACAAGAACUGGGUUUUCAAAUUUUCAGUUUUGAUUAUCUAAUUUGCAAGCAGAGACUUGCUAAUUAUUAGGCUAAUAAUUCUAUGAUAAUUAUUCUAGAACGAUGAUUUAUUGUUAGGUAAUGGAAACAUAUAAAAAAAUAAUAAUUAAAAAGAAAAGAAAAGAAGAAAAACAACUAUCACUCAUCACCUAUUAAAGAAAGAAAGAAAGAAUAUAUUCACCUUCACACACUAACACAAAGAGACACAUUCACGGGCACUAGAAAUCAACAAGAACAAAAAGCGAAAAAGAAAUUUUUUUUUUGAAGAAACAACGUUUUCUAUAACCAGAAAAGCGCAAUCAGUCUUUGUGGCUUAGAUUGUUUCUCUCACUUAACAUGGAUGUCAGUGGAAGAAGCACCCGUGAACUCCCUUUCUCUCAAACCUCACGUCACUUUUCACCUAAACCCAAGUACUAACUACUAUCAAACCUUAUAUAAACUCUCCCUUCAGUCUUCGCUUUCAUUUCUCAAUUCUCAUUCCAUAUACGUUUACAAAAAAAUAAAGGGAGAGAGAAAGAAAAUGUCAAAUUCUAAACACAUUCCCCGCUUUUUCUUUCUUCUUCUUCUUCUUAUUCUGCUUUUGAACUCAGGGCAGACGGUAGGCCAUACGAAAGGAAUUAGGCCAAAAAAGUCUGCAACUAAUAUACCAACUGUAAAUCAAACUAGAGUACAAUUCUCAGAGCAGCAAUUCAUGAAGUGGGUCAAUUUUGUUGGUAAACUAAAGCAUUCACUUUUUAAAACUGCAAAGAAUAAGCUUUUCCCUUCUUAUACUCUGACUGUAGACAAGAAUCCAGCAGCUGGUGAUUUUACUUCUAUCCAGGACGCCAUUGAUUCUCUUCCUUUCAUUAAUCUUGUUAGAGUUGUCAUCAAAGUCCAUGCAGGAGUUUACAAGUGAGUUCUUUUCUUUUAUUUUCUUUUUCUUUUUUUAUGUUUUUAUCACAACUUGUUAUUGAGAACAUGUGCAAUGUGAUAUAUGUUUUUCUUGAAUUAUUAUUUUAGUAAUUUAAAUUAUUGUCUUAUGUUUUUUGGUGGUCUUGGUUUUGGCUCUGCCUCUGCCAAACAAAUUGGUCUGAUUAUGCAGAAUCAUGGAUUCUAGAGUCGUUUUUGUCUAUAUUCACUUUCAUGUUAUUUCCUGUUGUUAAUUCAAUUUGAGAAAUGGAGGAAAGUGAUUCCACCUUUUGUUUUAUAUUGUGUCGUUUUCCUUUUCUUUUUCCUCAUCUAAUUUGAUGUUAUUUAGAGUUUGAACAUGACUUCACAAUUCUAUAUUCGAUUCCAAUAUCAUCAAGUCAAAAUUGCUGACCUUUUUUCUACCAAAAAUUCUCAAUUGAUCUCUUUGAAUUUUUUUUUUUUUAUUUAUGAUCGGAAUAAUAUUAUAAUUUAUAUGCUAAAUUAGUGAAACUCGUGUCUUUUUUUUCACAUUUUUCUUAACUAAGAAACUUGUUUAUUGGCAGAGAGAAAGUGAAUAUACCUCCAUUAAAAUCCUUCAUAACCAUAGAAGGAGCAGGAGCAGAUAAAACCAUAGUUGAAUGGGGAGACACAGCUCAAACACCUGGAGCUAAAGGCCAACCUAUGGGAACUUACAGUUCUGCAACAUUUGCCGUAAAUUCACCUUAUUUUAUUGCCAAGAAUAUUACAUUCAAGAACACAACCCCAGUGCCUCCACCAGGAGCUAUAGGAAAACAAGCAGUGGCAUUCAGAAUAUCAGCAGAUACUGCAGCUUUUUUGGGGUGUAGAUUUUUGGGAGCUCAGGACACACUCUAUGAUCAUUUGGGAAGACAUUAUUACAAGGAUUGUUACAUUGAAGGCUCUGUUGAUUUCAUUUUUGGGAAUGGCUUGUCCUUAUUCGAGGUAAGUUCAGUUAAUUAUUUGAUAUUCCAUUUAUAAUUAAACAGUAGUUAAGAAUGGUGGUGGGGUUCCAGGGAUGUCACGUGCAUGCAAUAGCACAAUAUACAGGAGCUCUAACAGCGCAAGGGAGAAGCAGUCUGCUGGAAGACACAGGGUUUUCGUUUGUGAACUGUAAAGUCACGGGUUCAGGAGCUCUGUACCUCGGAAGGGCAUGGGGUCCUUUUUCUAGGGUGGUCUUUGCCUAUACUUAUAUGGACAACAUUAUCAUCCCUAAAGGCUGGUAUAAUUGGGGCGAUCCUACUCGUGAAAUGUAAGUUCAAUAGUUAAAUUGUAAAAAAAAAAAAAAAAAAAAAAAAAAAUUAGCAAAUUGUAUGUUUUUUUUGUUUUUUUUUGUUCAAAAGAAAUUUCGUUUCUUUGAAAAAUAACUCUCAAUCAAAACAGCCGUCACGGGGCAUUAUUGCUUUCAGUGGACGUUUUUUUUUAAAACAACUGCUAGCUAGGCUUUAGUGGGCGUUUGGACGGCGCCAUAACAUACACUCGAUAGGUUUUAGGUGAGAUCAGCUUUUUGGAACGCACGGUUUGUCCUCUUUGUAACCGAAUGACCAAAAUACCCACAGAGAUUCCUCGCGUCGUCCACAUGCUAAUCCAUGGGCAGAAUCGUCAAACGGUGAAAAAGGGGUGGUUACAAUUUGGAAGCGAGACGCAGACCAUGUAUAUAUAUCGUCUGUCUUCUUCCUUGUUUAAUCUUUACUACUGCAAAAUCUACGUGUAAUGCCCCUAAAAAGACUGCACAGAAAACCCAGUCCCCCUACCCUAGCCAUAUACAUUACUGCAUCUAUUUGCGUUAGCUUUUAAUUUAGUUUAUGGCAUCUAAUUACCUAACCCUAAAGUUUCCUUUCCCUUCUCUAUUGGCAUUUUCAGGUUGUUUUAACUUAUUUGGAAUUGGCAGGACGGUGUUCUAUGGGCAAUACAAGUGCACAGGGCCAGGAGCUAGAUUUGCAGGGAGAGUGUCAUGGUCAAGAGAACUUACUGAUGAGGAAGCUAAGCCUUUUAUUUCUCUUAGCUACAUUGAUGGAUCUGAAUGGAUCAAAAUAUAAACUCCUAGUCCUAAAUGUCCUUGUCAUGUUAAUUACAUCUCAUCUCAUCUGUAAAAAAGUAAAACUAAAAACCAUCUUAGUGUGAGAAUUUUGGCCUAUAAUUUUUAUACUUUUUUUUUUUUUUUUAUUUGAUUUGAUAAAUUGAGUUUGACAAUGGGCCUAUGAUUCACUUAGUGACUUAGGCUUGGGCCUUUGUACUAAUUAGUUAGGGUUUUUUUUUUUAAUAAAAAUAAAAAAAUUAAAAAUAAGGGCUACUAGUACUAGAUGUUUGGAAAUAAAAUUUGAUCUGCAAAUUAUUGCUGUUUAAAGCUGGAUUCAUUCAGUUGAGCUUAUUCUAUUAUUUAGCUGAUAAAUUUAAUUUUUUCAAGAUUGGAAUUUAUUUUAUUUGUUCAUUUAAUUAAUCAUCAUCCAACUAAAUGGUAGAACGAUGUUUUAAUUCAUUAGGGAAAUAUAUUUAAUACUUAAACCAAAACACUUUUGGAAUUGAUUUAAUAUAUAGGAGGGUACGUUAACCCAAUUCCUAAUUAAGGUCUGCAUAAAAUUUUUAUAGUUUGUUUUUUAAUUUGUAUUUACAAUGCGACUCCAGUCACCGUUUCCAACCCUCUAUUAGAUUUGCAUAAACAGUGAUACAGUUACUGGUGAAGUUACAAAAGCUUGAUAAACAUGUCUAUCUAGUCUUGAAGGGUGGCGAGGUUAAAAAAGGCACCUCUCUUGUUCUUUAGCUGCACAUAAGUUCCUCUCUCUACCAUUUUCCCAUCUGCAACAAAGGCAAUGGAAUCAAGCUUCUUGAUCGUAUUAAGCCGGUGAGCCACCACAAUGGUACUUCUUGCCACCAUUAUUCGAUCCAAUGCUUCUUGCACAACUUGUUCAGAUUGCACAUCAAGUGCACUUGUUGCCUCAUCUAGUAAUAAUAUUGUUGGGUUCCUAAUUAUAGCUCUUGCAAUUGCUAUUCUUUGCUUUUGCCCUCCUGAAAGUUGCACUCCUCUUUCCCCACAUUCUGUCUCGUAUCCAUCUUUUAGCGACCUGCACAAUACGAAUGGAAAAAUCAGAAAGGUGGGUUUCUCUCUAUUUCAUUAGCCUGUUCUUGAAAAUGCAAGCUUUUGAUAUGGAAGAACAUAAACAAAAAGUUAGAAAUAGAUAAGUUACCAUAUGUCUAUAUACUUACGAGAUGAAUUCAUGGGCAUUGGCGGCUCUGGCAGCCUCCACCACCUCAUUCUCGGAAGCAUCGAGCUUUCCAAAGACAAUGUUGUCGCGGAUGCUGCCUGAAUAAAGCACAGGCUCCUGGCUGACAAGCGCGGUCUGCUUCCUAUACCAUUGAACAUCUAGUUGUCUUAUGUCUACACCAUCAACUUUAAGUGAACCACUUUCAACAUCAUAAAAUCUUUGAAUCAAUCCUAUUACUGUUGAUUUUCCGCACCCACUUUUCCCUACUAGUCCAAUGCUUGUUCCAGGCUUCACUUCCAAGCAAAAUUCGCGUAAUAUUAAUGUCUCUGGUCUACUUGGAUAUGCGAAAUCAAUUUUCUUCAUUUCUAUCCAUCCAGUUAAUUUUUCUAGCUUGGUUCCACUGCUAGCACUGUCCCCUCCCUGACAAAGAAAUUGCAAACUAAUUUAAUCAAACAGUUUCCAAAAGAUAAAUUAUAUAUCAAAACUUAAAAACUGUAACUUACAUUAUUGGAAGAGCCUGGAAUUAGAGAUUGUCUGUCAAGAAUCUGGAACACAGAUGCGAUUGCAGUGGAACCUUUUGCUAAAUCAGAAGUCAUGCUUCCUGCCUCAGCUAUAACCUUUCCAGUGCUUACAAGAAUAAAGAAUGUUUUGAACACAUCACCAGCUGAUAUCUCUCCUUUUUCUACUAAAGUCCCUCCAAACCAAAAAUCUAAAGCCCAUGACAUGAAAGUUAGGCAUUGCGCAGAGCCCAUUCCGAUUCCUGCUAGCCAUGAUUUUUUCCUUGCCUCUUUUCUUGGUUCCUCUUGUGCCUUAUCAAAUAAUUGAAGUACUUUUUGUACACUUCCAAAUGAAGUAACAAUUCUAUGGUUAUAUACUGCUUCUGCGGCAACUUGAGUAGAAUGAUUUUGUGCUUUGACAAAAUUUGUUGUCAUGCUAGAAAGCAAAACUUUUCUGGUGUAGAAACAUAGAAUUGUAAGCGGUUGAACUGAGAUCAUAACAAGUGCAAGCUUCCAAGCCACAACUAGUCCCAUGAUCAUUGCUAUGGUAACUGCAGAGGUUGUUUGAACUAAUAAAGAAACUCUAUCUGCGACAAGGGAUUUUACCAUGGUGGCUUCAUUACUCAAUCUUGAACAUAAAGCUCCACUAGAGUUUUGUUCUUCAUCGAACCAAGCCGCCUCAAAAGUCAAUAUCUUUUCUAGCAUUCUCAAUCGGAUUCUCUUCGUUAGCCUCUCACCCAUAUAACCAAAAUUGUAGUGCUGCACAAGAUUCAAGGUUAUAGAAAUCAAGGAAAGUGAGCAGAAUAUUAAGGAGUAUGUGCGCAUUCGAGCAUGGACUUGUUCAUGGCUUGGUGCAAAGAAAGCUGAUAUCAUGCCACCAAUGGUUAAGGCAUAUACAGGUUGCACUGCACCAAAGAUUAUAGCUGAAAGACUUCCUAUUAGGCCUUGCUUCCAUUCAGGAGAGUUCAAAGACAAAAGGCGAGAGAAGGAAGGUGGGGGGUGAGAUACAGGCUUUUUUGGGCUGUCAAUGAUAGGUAGUGGUGAUGCAAAGAUAGCUGGACUUGAUUUUCCUGUGCUUAUCCGGCCACCGCUGCUUCUUGCAACUGAAGACAAAUGUAGUUGAUCAGGGUUUUGUUCAUGGUCAUCACAACUGAACUGCCCUUGUAGCUUUGCUAGGUUAGCAUAGUGUCCAUUUUUUCUCUGGAUCAGAUCAUUAUGUGAACCUAAUUCAAUGAUGCAUCCAUUGUUAACCACUGCAAUGAGGUCUGCAUUUCUUAUUGUAGCUAGCUUGUGUGCAACCACCUGAAGAUGCAUAAUUCAAUAGCUAGCUUAGUUAGACAAUAUUGAAUGAGAUAAAUUUGACUAGCAAUUCUAAUAAGAUCUAACAUAAUUUGAUGCAAAAAUCUAUUACCGUUUGAGCUGCUUUUGAGAAAUAUUUCACGGGUUCUAGUUAUAGGAAGUUUCAUGACAGCUAAACAAUACUCUCACUGCCUAUUUCAAUAGAAUAUAAAAUGAUUCUCCUCCCAUAAAAGUAGUUUCAAUCUUAAUCUCAAAUAUUAGUAGGAUUAGUGAGUAAAUUACCAGUGUAGUUCUUCCCAUGGAGGCUUGAUCAAGAGCAUUUUGGACUAGUUUUUCUGACUCAGAGUCAAGAGCACUUGUUGCUUCGUCGAGUAAGAGAAUAACAGGGUUCUUAACGAUGGCUCUAGCAAUGGCAAUACGCUGCUUCUGCCCGCCAGAUAAAAGUGCUCCUCUUUCUCCAACCUUUUCAAAUUAACCUAGGCAUGUCAGAUUUAAUCUAUGCUGAAAACGUCUAUAUAUAUAAACAAAAAAGAUGUGAAAUUUAUUUACCUUUGUCUCAUAACCUUCUGGAAGCUGUCUUAUAAAGUUAUGAGCAUUUGCAGCCAUAGCUGCGGCUGUGACUUCAUCCAUUGUAGCAUCAAGCUUUCCAAACAUGAUAUUCUCUUUAAUUGAUGUCCCAAAUAAAGCAUGUUCUUGGCUAACAAGACCCAUUUUUCCUCUUAUCCAUUUCAAAUUUAAUGUUCUUAUAUCAACACCAUCAAUCUUGACAAAUCCACCAUUAGCAUCAUAAAAUCGCUGUACUAAAGCAAUGGCAGUGGACUUUCCACUUCCACUUGCACCAACAAGGGCAACAGUUUUUCCUGCUUCAAUUUUAAGGCUAAAGUCUUUAAGGACAGUGGAAUCUGGUCGAGAUGGGUAUGUGAAUUUGACAUGUUCGAACUCUAUUUCACCUUGCAUUUUGUCUAAUACAAUUCCUUUUGUAUCUUCACUAUCAAUUUCUGGAACUCUGUCAAUCCUGUCAAAUAUUCGGGUGGCGGCAACAGAUGCUUCUGUGAAGUACUUCAAAUCAGGAAGUGCAAUUCCAAGGGAUCUGCAUUGCAUAUUUACUGCCUUAAUUUUGACUAACAAACACUCUUAAAAGGAAAAAAGUUAGCUCCUGAAAGUAAAAAAAAUAGAAGCUUUACUUGUUAAUUUGAUAAAUUUGUUUGUUCUUUUUAUGCUUACAAGGAAACAAGAAAUUAACCAAAAGGAAUCUAAAUGUUCUUUUUAGUAGUGCUCUAAAAUUAUCUUUACUAGUAAUGUUCUCCUUUUGACUGCCCUAAAAAGGUUGGUGCCUCUUGAUUAUAAUUUAGGCUAACCAGUAGUAUUUUUAAUAGUAUAUACUUAAGUGGAGGGAGAAAAAAAACACUUUGAAUCUAGAAAUAGUUAUAAUUAAAGAAUAAAAGCACAAACAUGUUCAUCAACAAAUAUGCUCAUGAAAUAUUAAGCUAUGUUCUUCUUUACUAAUUAAAAGGGAAAGUGUUAAAUCUUUGCAUGCUUUCAUAUUAUAUGCAAGAUCAUGCAACAAAUGCAACUUUAAUCCACUUUACAGAUAAAUGAAUAUAUAUUUUCUAGAAAUUAAUAAUGCCUUUUUUUGAAAAAAAAAAUAUUACAUAUAUAGAAAUUCUAACUUUCAAUGGAAUCAUUACAAAUUCUCAUGAUGAAAUAAAGGUACUUUCAAAAAGGAAACCCACAUUUUGAAUGAGGGAUAAUUAAUAAUUAGUACAAGGAGUUUAUCGACUAUAAUAGAGUUCCAUAUAUAUAUAUAUUAAUUAUAAUCAGCAAGAACAAAACCUAGAAUUACACAAAAAAGCAUAGUAUAACCAUGAAUUAAAAAGAAAUUAACUUUAAGGUGCUGUUCUUUCCUUUUUCAUAAUAUAUAUAACCAUGAAUUAAUUAGUAAAAGAAAAUUUGAGAAGGAUAUACAAUGAACAUUCAUUUAAUUAACACUUAUCUUAUCAUUAAUAAAUUUAGCUGCUUUUUAGCUAGUAAAUAAGAUUAAGCAAAUAGAGAUAAAUAUGUUUGAAAGAAAUAUAAGUAUGUAAAUUAGGAAAAAGAAUAUAAAAGUUGAAAGCUACAUACAGUCCUCCUAAUAUGAAGGAAAUGCCAGCAGCAUAUAUCCUCCCUCCACUUUCUCCUUUGUACAUAACCAAAUGACUUCCAUACCAAGCAAUAAAUGCCCAUAUGGCAAAGGAUAGUCCAGUGCUUCCUACUGCGAGACCUUUCGCUAUGCCUUGUUUGAUUCCUAGCUUUGAUGUCAUGUCCAAUAUUGCUGAAUAUCUAUCAACAAUCCUUUUCUCAGCAGUGAAUGCAUAAACUGUCUUAAUAGAGCUCAAGGCCUGCUCAACAAUGGCGUUUGCUUUACCAUACUCUUUAUGAGCCUUUUUGGACAAGUAGAGAAGGUAUUUCCCAUAAAUCAUUCCAGGUAUUAUUAACAAAAGCAAAGUUGGAAAAGCUACUAGAGACAGCCUCCAUGAAAAAUAGGUAGAAAAUGCAAGUCCUGAUAUGAAAACUGUUGCGUGCAUCAAAAAUAUGGGCACCUGAAAAUAAUUUUAAAGCAAGUGAAAAUUGAUAAAUUAUAUAUAUAAAUUAAAUUUCUAAAGGAAACUACAUGCUUUUAAGUGAUUAAUUAGAUCAAUAAAUUACAUAAUAAUAAAUAAAAAUGUUGUACCUUUUCACUAAGUACUUCUUGUAUAAGAGAAGUAUCUUUUGAAAUGCUAUUUAUGAUCUCUGAAGUAGUUGCUUCCUGUGAAUCAAAGAACCCAACUUCUUGUCUGAGAACAGCUUCCAAAUACUUGUAUCGGAUCUUCAAAACCUGUCGCUCACUGGUUUUGCUCCAACAGUAACCUUCUGUAACCAUCAAAUUUAUAUUAUAUACUUGAUUAGAUUCAAACUGAAAUAGAACAAUUAGGGUAUUCUAGCUAGGGUUCCAUAAAAUAAUGGCUCUCUAUUGAAGAUUUCAAUAUUGUGUCUCCUCAAUUGUAUACUAGCUAAUACCACCUUUAGCUCUGUGGAUGCUUUUUGGAAUUGCAACCCAUUAUUGUCAUCUCAUCUUCACACACACCUCUAGCUAGCACCUUUCGUCCUAAGAAAGCAAUAUAUAUAUAUAGAAAAAAUAGAACUUUUGAAAUUACCCAUAAAUGCCAUCGCCAUGACUGCUAAUCCCAAGUACACAAAAUAUAAGCUGCACUGUUAACAACACCAAAAAGGAAAUGUAAGUGUAUCAAUUAGUCUUAAAGCAAGAAAAUGAAAGAGAGAAAGAAAGUUGACUACCUUUUCAACUUCAGACAUGAAAUUGGCUUGAUUUUGUUGGGUCGUUUUAUUAUUACCAUAGCCUAAGCUGUUCAUUAUGCGGCUGGCAAAGACUAAAAGACAGUUAGUUGACAUGCCAUCUCCAAUAGCUCCAAUAGUACCCAUAAUCAUAAGCAACAUAUCAACCCAAUCUGCAUAUCUAAAGAUUAUGGCUAUGGACUUGCUCUCUUCCCUUCUGAUAUUCUUCUCAUUUUUCUUUGGAGAAGCCAUUCUUCUGAUUUGUUUCCAAUUUCUCAAAAGAUGACUGCUUUUUUCAGUAUCUGCUAGCUAUAGCACAUUAGAAAAAGAGAAAAGGCCAAAGAGGUAUUUGUGGCUGACUCAAAGAAAAUGAUUGCAUAUCUUCUUCUAUAUAUACAGGGAGAAUGCGAGCAGUGAUUUUCCAUCAACCAACCCGUGUUUGUUUUAUGAUUAUAUUAAUCAUAGUAUAAUUGCUUGGGGUGGUUAAAUAUAUUAUAUUAUAAUUAAUGUUAUAGUGGUGGAUACUUUCCAUAAGAUCAAAGCAUGAUUAAACCUAACAAAGGUCGAGUAUUUUCAAGAAAGAUGACUAAUUGGCCAUUUUAAUUUGUUUUUACUCCUUGCUUUUUCUUUCAUUUUUGUAGUUUAGUUAUAUAUAUUGUGAUGUGAGAUUGCUUUCAAAAAGAAAAUGUCCCGUCUUGUUGGCUUUUUAAGUUCACUAGUAAAUUAGCAGUCAAGGCAAAACGCUUAAGUGGUAAUCCAGGUUUCAUUUGGCUUUUGCAAUUCUUGCAAAUGCAUAUAUUAGAAAAAUUACAAAGACUAAUAAAUUAUAAGAAAUUCUCAUGGUUUUUGCACAAGUAAUGUAAGAUAAACAAAAAAAAAAAAAAUGAAUUAGCCCUAUUUUUUUAAAGAAAAAUGUCUUUAACAAGCUUAAUUAAUUAAUUAAUUAAGAAUUAAUCUGUAAAAAUUGAUGCAAAGAAAUAAGAAAAGUAAAGGAAAAAGGAGAGGAAAAGAGAGAUUAUUCAGUUGGUUAAACAUAUUACUAUAUUUUAAUCAAAAUGGGUCAGCUAAGUUUGCAUUCUGUCAUCCCACUACCCACAUACAUAUAUGUAUGUCUGUAGCUGUAUUCGUUGGACUUUGAAAUCCUUUGUGCAUCUCUCCAAAUGGGAAUCGAAAUUUUAUAUUAUUUAAUUAUAAUUUAAACCUCUUUUCUUACUUGCCGUUCCUUUUUCUCCUCUUCUUCUUCUUCUUCUUCUUCUUCUUCUUCUUCUUCUUCUUCUUCUUCUUCUUUUCAACUAGUAUCCAAAGAAGAGCUGUAAUAGAGAUCCUCUCUAAACCCUCCCACUGAAAGUAUGAUUAGACAAAUUAAGCUAAAUCGAAAUGAUGACUGAUUAAAGCGAUCUUCCCCAAAAUUCAUUUUCCUUUUUAAAAAUAUUGUUCAAUAACUAUAUAUAAUAAAUUAAUUUCAUUAGAUAAGAUAUAUAAUAUAAUCUCUAACAGAUUGUAUAAAAUAUACGUAAGAGAUUACAUGAAAUAUGUAAUCUCUAGUAGGACCAACAUCUACAUAUUCUAUAAUUAUACACAAAUUGAUGGAAUAAAAUCUAAUAAUCCCCAAUAACCAUAUAUUACAAAAUCCAAUAAUGUAUUUUUUUAUUUAUUUAAAUUUCCAUUACUAGGCAGGAUCCAUUAUGUAUAAAUCAUGUGCAAUGUCUGUUUAUUUUCUUAUUAGAAAAUGUUAUCUUCAUAUAUAAUGGCAUUCGAUUCUUUGCACAUAGAAUAAAGUACCUUUUACCAAAGUUAUUUCUUCAUAAAUUAUUUUAAUUUAUCAAUAUAUUACAGGAUCUUUAUCAAUCAUCAUCACCCUGAAAGGAAAAAAGAUCAAUUCUUCUUGAUGUAUAUAAUAGGUAGGGUACUUUCUUUUAUCAAAAAAAAAAAAAAAAAAGAUAUAUCAUACUAUACAUGAGAAGUAUAUUAGAAAUAUUAUGUAUAAUAUAUAUUCUAUUCGUUGUGAUGGAUUUGAUAUAUUUUCAUUAAUUUAUUUCUUAAUUUGAUGCCUAAUUGCAUAUAAGAAAAGGCUGUUCCUUUUAACUACUACGUUCUGUACCAAAUCCGUUUUUUAAAAAAUAAAAGCUUUGUUUAGCUCAUUUUUUUAUUUAUUUUUUGAAAUAGAACAUAUAGUUAUAACGUUAUAUACCAUUUGAAUUCCACAGUUGUAUAGAUUAAUUUGCAAAUGUCUAUAAAAAACAAUAAUUUCAACCUUUUUUUUUUCUCUUUUGAGUGUGGAUAAUUUGUUUCAUUUUUUUUUUUUAAUUAUUGGCAAAAGAGAAUUUGUCCUUGAUAAAUUAUUAUAUUUGAGUGCCACGUACCUCGGUCUGGACAUGUGAAAAAAAUAUUCUUUAAUUAUCAAUUAUUGUACAUUUCUGGGAUAAUAAAUGAAUAGAAAUUGCUAUCAACUAUCAGUUGGUCCAGUGGAAUGAGGUGUUGGAUCCUUUAAACAACGUUCAGGAUUCGAACCUUAACGUUGUAAAUGUAAAAAAUUGGAUUGGGAGACAUAAUGAGUCUCUGCAGAAUCCAAGUCUAAAUUAAUCUGCUAUGCCAGAAACUAAAUAGUUUAACAAAAUAAAAAAUAAAAAAUGUUAAAAAUUACAUAAACGUGAAUAUAUAUAAGCCGGCUUUUCCGCCAAAAUUUUAGGUAAUUUAAUAAGAAUUGGAUCGUUGUCCAAAUAAUCCCAUCAUUCUCCGUCCAACAUUAGGCUACAAAUCUCAAAGACAGUGCUAAUACCAAAUUAGUGGACUUAAUAAACAAUUAUAGUUGCUGUGAGACAAUGUGUUUUUCGUUAAAUAAAUCGCAUGAAAGCACUACUUUCUUUCACUCUUUAGAGUGUGAACCAAUUUUUUUACCUUCUUUUAAUUUUUUAAUCUUUUAGGUCAUAAUCAAGCCCUACGAAAAUAAUAAUUAAUCUUGGUUUUGUAGUAUUUUUCAUUUAAUAAGCAUGUGAAUCACGUUUUAUAUAUAUAUAUAUGGUAAUGGUAUUACUUUGCCUCAUCUAUUAAUUAAUAUUAUUAUAAUAGAACUGGGGAGGAAGUGUGGCUGCCGGAGAGGAAAUCUGAAGUCUUUGAGCAUUGAAACUUCGUAGAAAACAAUUGCAAUGUGACCUUUUAAGUGCUAACCAUUCCGACAUAGUGCAUAAUAAGAUAAUUAAGCACACGUUGCUUUUGGUCUGUGGUUGGAACUAGGUUUGUUAGUUUAAUGUUCACUAAAUAAGAUUGCAAAAAUUUUUUUUUUCUUUUAAUCACGUGUUGAUAUUCCUUUCAAAAAGAAAAAGAAACCUAUUGAGGGAAAUGAUUUUUUCUUAUUUGGAAAGGGUGAAAAAAUAUCAAAGAGGAAAAUAUGCAAAAUGAUAAUUUUCCUCAUAAAAUUAAAUUCUCUCCAAAUUGAAGAAAAACAUGAUGAUUGAAUUAAGAAAAUUAUAUUAUUUAAUUUGAAUUAGUACUCUCCCCUCCAAAUGAAAACUUAAGUAAAGGAACAUAUUUAGUAAAGUUUUCCCUUUUGUAAUUCUAAAAAUUAAAUAAAAAAAUAUUAUCAAUAAUCAGGCAUGUAGAUAUUUGGGGGAGGGGCUUGUUCUUUCUCUCCUGAUAGUCCCUCCUUUUCUCUUUUUUUUUAUCCUUUUUUAUAUAUUUUUUUAUAAUAAUUUAAUUUUAUGUCUGGUCUUUUAAGAGAAUGAGUCUCUUAGCAUUAGUUCGAAGAGAUCGAUAAAAUCCUAAUAUAUUUUCUUAAAAAAGACAAAAAAAAAAAAUAACUAAAAUUUUGAAAUGAUCAAUGAACAUUAAAUAAAAAUAUAAAAAAGGUGUAUAUGCAAGAUAUCAUGUAAGCUAGAAAUAUAAGUCAUUAACUAGAAGUAUGGAAUAUUCUAAUUUCAUAUUGGCAUAUGCAUACUGGCACAACAAAAGCAGUCUGUGAUUGAUUUAUUAAAUUUAACCAUGAAAUUAGGCUUUACGUGGGUCUUCUUCUUUAAUCCCAAGCCACUAGCUUUAAUUAUCAAAACUAUCAUCUUACAUCAUCAACAUAAAGAGUGAAAAAUAUACACAAAGCUAUGGCUGGUGGGAUUGACUUAACCUAUUUGUUUUUUUUUUAUUUUAUCAAAAUUUUUUUAGGAUGAUCUAUCCAUAGUUCUAGCCAUUUCAUUAGCGUACAAAAAUGUGACAAACAAACAGAAACAUGAAAAUGACAAAAAGCAAGGACCAAGAGAGACUCGCUAAAAACGAGAUUUAAAAAGUGAGCUUUCUAUCGCCAUCAAGCAAAAUAUAAACUAAAUGUCACUUACCUUUAAUUGCAUGAAAGUGGUUGUCACAAAGACACAAGCGAUAUAAAGAAGGUAUUUUUGAAGAUUUAUUAAACAAAAGUUAAAGCAAAACAAUAAUAAUGACUCACAAACCACUGCCAUUGCUGAUGCAGAUCAGAAGACAAUCAGAAGACAAGAGGUGUUUCAGGGGUCCAUGGCUUCACCAUUCCAUAUUUUCUUUUCUAAAUAUGGUCAUGCAAAAGGAUUCCUAUUACAUCAAACAGUCCUUCCUUCCCCAUAAAACCUUUAACAUGUAUACAGAAUGAGAAAAAAAAAAAAUAUAUAUAUAUAUAUAUAUAUAUAUAAGUUCGAAAAAAACUAGUAUUAGUGACUUCUUGACAACAACAGCUUACAUAUAAGUUACAACUGAAAGUGACUUGUUAACCGCUGGUUUCGAAGGGGAUAAAAUCAUACCUCUUGAUGAGUAUCCCUAUAAUGAGAAAAUGAAGAAACCAAUCUUUUUCCAGCAAGGCAUCUUUCGAAUUUCCAUAGUGUGAUUGUGCUUCUACGUUGAAUUUAUAGAUAAAGUCACUCAUCCCAUUUGGCAAUGUUCUUCCUGGUUAGCAUCCCUAUACUGUGGACCAGAAGAGGGUGACCUUUGUCCAGUAAGAAAUGCGAAAACCUGCUUCAAAUUUCCCCUAGAUGGUCGAGCACUUACUGCAAAUUUGCAUAUAAAAACAAGUCGCCUUCGCAUCUCCCACUUAGUAAUACAGGUAUUGUGAAAGGAUUCGCCAUCGUCAAAGGUUCCUAUUGAGAAAUCAGAAAGUUCGAAAAUGCUUGAGAAACUGAAAGCAACCUUCUAAAUUCUUCUGAUAUGAUUGAAGGAGCACACGAAACUGACAGGUGACAGCAAAUCAAAUGAAAUUGACAAUGGUAUCCCAAUUAUAUGUCGGUAUCAUAGAAAAUCCAUUGGCCUGCAAAACUUUGCUAAGAUGAACAAUUCAUCAAGAAGGAAAGUACAGGCCCAAAUAAUACAUGCUGGGAAAGGCAGUAGGAAAUGUUGCACCAACACCGAAUCAGACAACAAAAGAAAGGGUUAAAGAUGAACUUUUCCUCCAUUUCUCAGGCAUCAGAAAUUAUUUUAUCUUUGUGGAAUAUGCAUGCAUCUUACCCGCGUCACUGAAUAAUGAUGUCAAAAUUGCCAGACAAACACAUAUGCUGAUAUCUUCCCCUGCAAACAGUAUAUAAUAAAUACAUCAGCAGUACUCGAACCAUGCGCAGGCGUCAGAUGGAAAUAAAAUUUCUAUUCAAUUCUUCCAGCAAUUCUAGAAAGCACUGGUAUAUUAAUAUACUGAUUCAAUAGUUAAUUAGCUCUACAAGCGCCAAAAACAAUAAACCAACCCAAGAUGUGACAAUCAGAAACUAGAAAGUGAUAAUUACAAAAUGCAAAAAGACAAAUUUGGAAUGCUGCAACUUAAAAAUCAAUAAUUUCAUAUCUCUCCACAUUGAAGCCUAUCAAGCAGUGCGAUUCCAGUAGGCAAGACAGCAUUUACAGAUACUUACCAUUGCAGCAACAAACUAGAAGUUUAUUCCCCUUGCUAAGAUUCACUUUUGCAAAGUUCACUGCUGCAGGAAGAUUGCUUAAUAUGGAAAAUCGAUCAAGUUUUGAGCUCUGCACAACCAAAAAAAAAAAAAAAAUUCAGAAAAAAAGGAAAAUAAAAAGUGUUGCAUUGAUGAAAUAAUUAAAUUGCCAUCUCUUUCCUUUCAUACGCACCACCAUAGGAAGAUGCAAAUAUGCUUCACUAUCUUGUAGACAGACUGAGCAAGAAUUUUGAUCACAGUUCAAGAUACAAUCAACAUCAGACACAUGUGCAGCUGCAAGAAAAGAGGGAAGAGAGAUAGGAAGGAUAUAAUUGAAAGUAGGCGAACAGAAAAUUAAUGAGAAACAUAAGGGUUACUGCCUGUGUACAGAUGGAAAAGAGAAAUAAAGAAGAAAAGGGAACACCACAUAAGGCCUUCUUGAAGAACAUAAGACCCAAAAUUAGUGGAACAUUUAGAAUUUCAACCAAAUGUGUUACCAGAUGCUAAAUUGUUAAACCCCAGGUGAAUAAUAUUAAGAAAUUCCAUCUUAUUAUUCCCUGAAAGAAAUAACUAACACAAAGGAACUUGAAAUUUAAAAAAGAUAGAGAAAAGAAAGACUGAUAAAGAUAAGCCUUAAAGAUUUUCUUCACGUGAAACACAGGGGAAAGCAUACAUAACAAACUUAUUGAACAAAUUGCAAAAUUUUAUGUUUUAAUUUUCUGGACAUCAGAAUAAAAGAUUUUGUACUUCAUAGUGUAUUCCUAUGAUAAUAAACUCAACUCAUAAAUUAGCUUACCGAGUUGAGUUGUACCCACUGCAAGAUUAGUAGAGCCUAGCCAAAACACUGCCUGAUCUUCAUCACACGACUCCAGAGUGCCAUUGUGGUUAUAAAGAUUCAAAUAUAAUGAAUGUUCUAUUUCAGAAAGAUCAGAAGUGCUGUCUGACACCCUAGAAGGCUUCACAGUCACCUGAGGAGCAGUCUGUCCCCUUUGAGCACGAUACACUCUGUCCUUCUCAACAAUAUCAGCUACCUUUUGGUUACACAGAUCAGGACCUGAACUUAUUAUAUCAUAUGCAUGAUGCCAGAAAAGACUAGGGGACAGACACCUUGCCCAACUUUCUUCAUCAUCUCCAGCUCCUGCUAUAUAAUUCCAGCUAAACUCAGAUGUAGUCCUAUGCUGAUAAAUGCUGCUUGAGGAAGACGCUGAAACAAGUAUAAUAGGCGUGAAAUCCCAGGAAUCAUGAUCCGGUACUUCAUUCAACCAGAUUACAGUCUUUUGCGAUAUCCAUAAAGGUCGAAGAGGCUUUUUCAAGCAUGAUGCGAUUAAAGCAAUAUCAGCUCCACUAUCUUCCAUCUGUUUUGUCCACUCUUCUAUACGGUCCUCAAUAGCUGCUUUCUCUGUUUCAGAAACCCAAAGGGGAAGAUGCAAAGAACAGUCCCAAUUCUGCGAAGCCAGUCUUUUAUUUUCAGCAUCAUCAGAGGUAUCCAUCUCCUAUCAGAAUGCGAGACGACAAAUGCUGAGAUGAGAAUGUUUAUAA
This 60104-nucleotide long non-coding RNA is filed under the name Jatropha curcas. Its description in RNAcentral is "long non-coding RNA (JCUR_LNC001849)". The stretch from base 14755 to 14869 matches the Rfam family "Bacterial small subunit ribosomal RNA", at positions 755 to 869 of the family's 1533-position model. The record is from RNAcentral. Lineage: Eukaryota; Viridiplantae; Streptophyta; Magnoliopsida; Malpighiales; Euphorbiaceae.